This 51609-nucleotide long non-coding RNA is filed under the name Solanum tuberosum (potato). RNAcentral's name for it is "long non-coding RNA (STUB_LNC007748)". The record is from RNAcentral. Lineage: Eukaryota; Viridiplantae; Streptophyta; Magnoliopsida; Solanales; Solanaceae.
GAUAUUUUUUUUUUUUUUUUUUUUUUUUUUUUUUGUGUUUGCCAACUGAUUCAUUGAAUAAAAAAGACUAAUGGUUUUGUCUUGAUAUACAAAAAUAGAAAAUGGAUUGGAACGUUUCAACUCUGAGAUUAAGAAAUACUUGACCACAGCUAAUUAGUGAAAACAACAAUUAAUGGCACAUCUUAAUCACAUUAUCUCAAAUUACUUUUUUAAGGAAAACAAAGCUGGCCUAAUUUCAACAUCUUGCUUUGCAAUUCUUAGCUCUUUUCUCUUUUUAAUAAUUAAUAAUAAUCUCUUCUGUUUUUUUUUUAAAAUAAUAAUAAAUUAAUUAAUUAUCUGAAGUUACGGUCACGUGUACUUUUAAUUUCUUGUUGAAAAUAAAUUAUCCAAUAUUUAUACCUAUUUUCCUCAAGAAUUAUGAGGUGAGCCCUUAUAGUCAGCUAUUAUGUUUUUGAAGUUGUAAAAAGAUUUAAUUUAAUUGCUGAAAUUAGUAAUGGAUUUAAUUCUUCAAAAUGCAUUUAAACUAGGAAUAAAAAGAUAGAGGUAUGAGGUUCAAAUUCCAAUAUUUUUGAUCCGUUCAUUUGACCUAGUAUUUUCGACGAAACGUAAAUUUAUGUGCAAAAAUUUCACUUAUGUGGAUCUCAAACGUCCAUAAUUAAUUUAAAAAUAUAAUAGGUUCGUGAAUGUUUAAAAGAAUUAAUAUUGAACGUCCAUUGAUCAUAAAUUUUGAAAUCUUGAAAAAACUGAUAUAUGUGUUGAUAGAAAAUAAACACGUAAACUAAUUGAGGUACACAGUUGACCAGAUUAUGUGGAGAAUAUAUUUUGCUCCCUCGUGACUUUUUGGGUUAUUGUCGAGUGAAGUUUAAAGUCAUGAUAACUUUGGUAAUUAGCACGUGAAUAAUUUAUUAUUAUUUUUAUUUUAGUUUAUUUGUUUGAUUUUAAGUUGAUACGAAAUAUAAGAAAAUAAAAAGAUUUUUGAAUUUUAUGAUCUUACAUUAAAAAUACUUAUAAUAACGUAUUAAAAUAUUUUAAAAUCUUAAGAUCUUAAAUAUGUCAAGUAAAAUUCCUUACUUAGCUGGAGGUGCUGGUGCCACCUAAACAUUAGGCAAACGUCUGAUUAUUUAAAUUAAAAAGUUGCCAAGAAAAAGGGGGAAAUAUAUUUUAAAAUGAAAUAAAAAUAAAAUAAAAUAAAUAAAUCGAAACGAACUAAGCAUUAGCAAAGAGUGACUUCCACCAAAUUGUAUUCGAAAAACAUGGACAUCAAAGGUAUAAAUGUAGAAACAUAUAAGUUUUCUUUUAUUAAAUUAAUACAAAUAUAAAUACGAUGACUAUACAACUGGAAUUAACCAAAAGGACUUUAAACAUUUUAUCGAAAAUAAUCCUCUAUUUUUAUAAGCUUGGGACAAAGUUGCAAUGUUGCAUACACGCUUAACGCUACAUAUACUCUCUCUACACUCAUAUAUGUAUAGUGACAAUACAAAUGGAAUUAACUAAAAGGACUUUGAAAUAAUUUAUCAGAAAUAAUCUCUCUAUUUUUAUAAAUACGAACAAAGUUACAUACAGAUUACGUAUAUUUUCUCCAGACUCCACUUAUAAAAUUAUAUUGUAUAAGACUUGAAUGGUAUUUACACAAACCCAAUAAAUAUUACUCCAAUAUCCACAUAUAUCUUCUACUACAUACAAUCUAUAUAAAAUCAAAAUUAUUUUUUAGAUAUAUAUUUUAGAAAUUUUAUUUCGUGUAUUUAUUUUACUUUUUUUUUAGUGAAAAUGAUGGCUCCGUCAUAUGAGGGGGGUAGGAAUACAUGCCAAACUAACUAACCAAAAGGUUUGGUAAUAUAAUUACGUGUAUAUUUGGUGUAUAAUUACGAUGCAAAACAGAAAAGAAAAAAAAAUACAGAAUAAAAGGGCCAUGCAAUUGUGACUUACUUUAAUUCUGUUAAGAGAGUGAGCAAAUUAUGCUUUUCUUGUGGCGUAAUAUCUGCAAUAGAUGAUUAUAGCCUUUAAUUUUGUCUUUUAAAACUUCUCCCCAUCAACUUCAUAUCACUAACAAAUACCCCGCCACUCGCCAGACGUGGUGUAGUAGAUGAGACUAGUCUUUCAUUAAUUAGAGGUCUCGGAUUCUCAGUUCGAAUUUUGGAUAUGAAAAAGUCCAUAGUAAGGAGUAUUAUAUUUCGAAUGGGUCUUUCCAAUGCGAAUUCGAAUUAGUUGGGUUUUAAUAUGAGUAUUAAACAUUAAAUGGAAAAAAUACAACAACAAAUACCCCUCUUUUUGCAAAACUAGACAUUGACAUCCCUGCUUUCUUGUUACUCUUAAUUCUCAUAUAUCCGGCCUCUCACCAUCGAUGGGCGUGGUGUAAUAGAUAAAACUACUUAAUUUUCUAUUAAUUAGAGGAUUCAAUCAGUUUUAAGUCUUGAAUAUGAAAAAGUUCAUAGUAAGGAGUGCUAUAUCCCGAUUUUGUCCGACGCGAAUCUGAAUUAGUCGGACUUUAAUAUGAAUAACCGUACUAAAUAGGAAAAGGAAAAAACAAAUAGCCCUCCUUUUUUGCAAAACUAGACAUUGACAUCCCCUCUUUCUUGUUACUCUUAAUUUUCAUAUACAUAAUUAUGUUGCUCUCCAUUUACCUUUUACUACAAAUUAUAUAUAUUGUGAACAACUAUAUGUUACUUUAAAAAAGGUUUUAUCUCAUCGUAAAUGUUAAUAUUUAUAAAAAUAUCUUCAUUAUAAAGCAACAACACCAAAAAUUGAUCGUGCUAGAAUAAUGAAAAUUCCGUAAUUAACCAAAACUUCAUGUGAACUCGUCCGAUCAUAUUGGAAAAAAAUUGUGUGUGUGGUAAUCAUUCGAUAUCUGAUAUUCAUCAGAUUAAUUAAUUCAGAUUCGCACGAAAUAUGAAGUGAUUUGAUAUUAUAGUUCUUUAAUUUAUAAAUUUAUUUUUAAUUAAUUAUAUAUUCUUUUAACCAGAGAUUAUUAUUUAACACAUAAAUGAUCUUCAUUUUUACAUGCAAGAGAUUAAAAAAUGUCAUUUUCCUUGCUUAUUUUGUUAGUGGUCAUAAAAGAUGAUUUCCAUCUAAAAGAAAAAGGAUAGAAUUAAGUAAAGGAGAAAUGCUAGAGCCUAAUUAUUUACAUGCAAUUAUCAUGUAGUAUUAAAUAUGUAUCAUCAACGAAAGAAAUAAAGAGAUUAAGACGAACAAAUUAUUUAGUUUAUCUAGCUCAAAGAUAUUCUUUAACUUGAUGAGAUGUAUUUAUUUGUUUUUGGCCAAGUCCGCACAUUUUUUUCUAAAAGGUCUCAUAUUAUUAGGAUUAUUCACAUUAUGUGGGAGAUAAUCUUUUCAACGAACGUAUCAAUGUAGAAUUUUUUCCGUAAAUCAAUAAUCUAUCCUUGUGAUACUAGAUUAUAGACACUGAAACUCAAAAUUAGCUUUAUUUUGUGCGCAUGCAUCUCCAAGCUAUCUUUGACAUGAUAAAGAUCAUAAUGAAUCAAACUGCCUCACAUCACCACUUUAUCAUGUCCUUACUCAUUUCAACAAACCAUUAGCUCUAAUAUCAUUUGUUAGGCUAAAUUACUAGUCCAAAAUAUUCUUACUUGUAUGUGAUAACUUAAUAAACUUAAAUCAAGACAUUUUUUUCAAGAAAAGGAUCGGACACCUAUAUAAAUAGUAUAAAUAAAUAGUUAAUCAAUUCACAACUUGCUAGUACUAACUUAUAUUUGUAAUUAAAUAAAUAAAAAAAGAGGAGAAAAUGUGGCAAGUAGUACAAAGAGCACAUGCAUAGUAUAAUUCACAUAUCAUUUAUUUUCCACACAGAGAAUACACAAAAGGGCAAGUUAGGUUAUCCCUAUAAUAAAGAAAUUGAUAGAUACCAUAUUUUUCAUAAGUUACAAGUACUACGUUUGACUCAUAGCUUAUGUAACCCACAUGCAAGGCUUUGAAUAUAUGUAUUUUAAUCUAUCACGUUUUAAAAAUUUACAAUAUGCUUUUCUCUUAUAUAUAAUUAAACAUGUAUUCUAUCUUUUUCCGACUAAAUUUGUAUGAUCAAAGGCGGAUCUAUGUAGACCGGAGGGGAUUCCACGCCACCCGAUAGUCUCGGUUGAAAUUCUGUAAAUACAUGUUUAGUGUGUGUAUAUAUAUAUAUAUUUAUUUAUUUAUUUAUUUAUUUAUUUAUUUAUUUAUUUAUAAGGAAAUGUAUAAAUAUUAAGCAUGACACCCUUAAAAAUAACAAGAGUUUUGGUGCAUGGGUUAAAGCUCAUGUUUACCGAAUUAAGUAUUGUCUUGUUCUAUGCUGGAGUUUUUGAUAUCGGUUACAAAUCAAAGCAACAUGGCACCCGGAGUUUCAAAAUUCUAAAUUCGUCUCUACUUAUGAUUACACUGAAUUUGUUGUUGUUGUUGUUGUUAUUAUUAUUAUUAUUAUGAUAUGGUUUCCUUAAAUUGAUAACGAAUGUGACACUCAUAAAUUUCAUAAAUUUAAUUUAUAUAUGUAAUGACCUUCACUAUCAACAAACCAUGCAUGCGCACAUUCCUAUUCUUAUUUUUUAAUUCUCACAUAAUUCAUAUGUCAUAACUCAAUGAGUGCUUCUUUAUUAAAUGUGGUAAUUUCUUUUUCUUCUUUUUGAUACUUUUUAACAAACCAGAAAUCAAAGUAAAAUAAAGAGUAAAUUGCACUCAAUAUAGCAUAAUUUCACACUCCACUGUAAAAUUUACUUUUUAACUUUCCAUUUCCCAUUAAUGUUAUAAGUCUCACAUUAUCCUAACAAGUUUAAGUUAUAUAAAUUAUUAAUGUAAGAAAUAAUUUAAAUUAUCACAUCCUCUUUACUUGUUAUAUCAUAUAAUUUGUCUUAUAUUUAAGCAUAUAUAAAUCUCACAUUUGAGGUACAUCCCUUUUCCAGCUCUUACUUAAAUAAAUAAUAUUUCAUAUAUCAAACUGACAAAUUUUUCUAAUUUUAUUCCACGCAAUAUGAUACUCAAAUGUGGAGUAUAAUCAAUCAAUAUUAGUGGUUUCAGGCUACGACGUUGUCACUUGUCAAUAUUACAUCCUUUUGAAGUGAGACCCUUUUCGAAUUCCAAAUAAAUGUAAAAUUGUUGUAUUUUAAUUUGAGGUGAGAAUCAUGAAAAAAUAGUGUUUUUUGUCCUUUAGUGUUAGGCAAGCAUGGCCAGGAAGUACCAACAAUUAUCAUUUGACUUCAAAAGUCCUUUUGCUUCGUAAGCUAUGACAUAAGAAAAUUAAAUCCCAUUCAUUAAGAAAAUCAAUUAUAUAUGCCUAAUAGAUUUAAAAGUUUACGCUAUGUAUGUAAUUUAACAAGUUAUUUUUCAAUUAUAAAUAGUUACAUUGUUAUUGUAGGUAACUUAAUGUGAUAGCGUAAAAAAUAUUUAACUUAACCUCAUGAUUUAUGAGGUUUUUCUUAUUUUUAAUUUAUGUGGAUUUAACUUCGUGAGCUAAUCAACAUUUUACAAGUAGCAUAUUGGAUAAUAGUAGACGUGUCAUAGCCAAUAAUAAGGCAACUUUCCUAGCCUUAUAUAUAUAUAUAUAUAUUUAAUUUUAUUUAUUGAUUAUUAUUUUCUUGGAACCAACUUGAUUACCUCAUGGUUCAUGGGCAGUAUAGGUUAUGGGAUCGUUUUAAGCGCGGCCUGUUGGUUUAAGUUAUAUAUACUGAUCAUAAUACAUGUAUUUUCUUAUACUAUUAAUAUAUUUUAACGUGUGAUAUCAUGUUUAUUACUAUUGUUAUGAGAUCACAAAUUAUUAAUUGCUUAUUAAGAGACUUAUAUGUGUAAAUUAUCCAAUAACUAAUAUGAUUGUCUAAAUAUUUUGUAUACAUGAUAAACUCAUUCUGCCAUUGUACAUAACUUAAAUUCUAUCGCAUCACUCUUGUUCUUACUAUUGAUGAUAUACAUGGAUCUGAUAUUUGUCUGAAAAUGACCACUCUUUUGACUAUUAGCUCAUAUAGUUAGUAAUUUAGCACCCUUUAUCUCAUAAUGUGUUUUCUCAAACUUUUAUUUAGUGAGGCAUAACUUAAUAUGAGAUAUUAUAUAUAAUACGAAAAAUAUUAUUUUAUGUCCCAUAAAAAAGUCAAGUAUUCAUUACAAGGAACAAAAAUUAAAGACUAAUACCUGAUGGCCUAUGAAAAAAAAUCAUAAUCACUUUUAUAAUGAUCGAGUGACAUUAAAUAAAGACAAAAGUGUAAGUGAUCCAAUGUUAAAUUACUAAAAGAUAUUGUUGAUUUAGCCAUUGAGAGGACAACAGUCUAACAAGCAAUAUAGUAAAUAUUUUUAUGAUUUGUAUUUUUGUGUGGUGGGACUACUAAUCAACUUUUUAGUACAGUUGGUAUCUUGAAUUUGGUUAAAGACAAAAUUGCUGAUGUUCAAGUGGGAAAUUGGAGGCUCACUUGAUUAUUCCGAAUUUUUCGUAAGUGAUAUUUUAUAAUAACGCUUGAAAUAAGGUAUAUUUGAAAUUUUCGUAAAUAAUAUACUGUAUAACACUGCUUGGGAUAUGAUAUAUUUGCCACUAGUACAACAUGAAUUGACAUGAAAUUAAUGUUAACUAGAUUGAUGAAGAAGUAUGCAUUUUGACCCCACUAGGAGUUAAUAAAUUGAGUACUAUGAAUACAACUAAUCGAUCAUGUAGACAUUUUUUACGUUUAGUAGAUUAAUUUUGCCGAUCAAUUCGUGAUGAAUUCAGAAUUUAGAUACGAUGUAUUUUGAAUUGAGAAAUCGAAGUUUGUAGUAUAUAUCUAAUCCUAUUUAUUUAUAUAUAUUUGUUUUAUAUGAAUGCACAUGCAUGUAUAAUAUAAGUCAAUUUCAAAUUAAACACAAUUCAUAGUCGAUCCGUUACAGUUAAAAUUAUCAAUAGUUAUCUUUUAAUUUCUAUAUGCGCAUAGACAUAUAUAUAAAUUAUGAAAAUUGAUUAGUAAACGUUAUUUUUGAUCGAAUCAAAAGUUUUAUAUGGGGCCUAAGUCCUAACCAUAUUCCCACAAUUUUCUCCAUUUCUGAUCUCUUCUUAUAUCUCUUUCGAUAUAUUCUUUGCACCCUGACCCAUACACAGUUUUUGCCAAAUAGCUGUCACUUGUUUUUCUAUUUAAAAUUAGGGGUAUAUAUUUAAUGAUAACGGCGGAUAUAUUUAAAUUAUUUUCGAUAGUACAUUAAUAUAUUUAGCAUAUUUUUUUGCAUAAAAUUAUAUUAAAAUCUUGUACAUAUACCCCAGCAAUAUUUACCAACUAUUUAGACAGCAGAAUUGAUUAAAAGAUGAGGAUGGAGAAGAAAGGAUAACAAUAACAUAUAUUUUGAUUGAACUAGUGAGAAAAGUAAAAAUAUUAAUUAUACAAAGAAAGUUAGAAAAUAUUUCAUUAUUUCAACGAUAAUUUAUUUUUCAAGAUAUAUUUUCUCAGUAAGAUGAUUCGAUGAAAAGUCAAUAAAAAAAUAUGUUCUUAUAAAUUUUUCACUAAUAUACUGUGGAAGAAAUCUUUAUUUCUGUUAAGACUAUAAGAUUUGUGGUAGUAGAAAGUCAUGAAAUGAUAAAAGUAGUCCUUGACGUACAAUAUCACUAAAUAGUCAAAAAGGUCACUAAGUUUGAUAUUAUAGUUAUUAUUUAUUUUAUUUUAUUUUUAGCUUUUUGCACGUCUAUUAAAUAAAAACUACUUUAAUAAGAUAUUAUAAAUAUAAGUAUUGACUAUAUUAACUUUAUCUCUUCUCAAAUUUACUCAUGAAAAAUUGUAAAUACUUAUUAUAAGUUUGUGUUAUUUUAUUUAUUAGACAAAGAUAAUUUUGAGAAAAACUUGAGAUUUUCUUGUUUUCGUUAAAAAAAAAUAUCCCUAUGUUGGAUCUAUUAAUGAAAAAACUAAAAAAGAAGAAAAGGAUGAAUGGAGUAUUUAUUUAUGAGAAAUAUGAACAUACUCUUGACUUUAUAAAUUUUGUUCUUUGACGUAGCUAGUAGAUGAUACAAAGCGGAUAGUGAGAAUUGAGAACAUUAACGAAGUUUUAUAGUGUAGUACUGAUAAAUAAUUCUUUAUUCUAAUUUUUAGGUUUGAGCACUAGUAUGAAAUCAUAUUGUUAAGAAUCGAAUAAUUUGUCCUUAGUGUAUAUAAAACUUUUCAAUACCUAAUACGGACAUGAAAUUGUUAGAUAUCUAAUAUGAAUAUCGAUCAUCAGAUGAAAAAAUAACCGAAAGUGAUCUCCCUAUAUAAUCAAGUCAUAUGCAAAUCUUGCUAUUUGAAAAACACUUGAUUUGAUACGAAAUGUGAAACGAAAAGACAAAACGAAAAACAAAAAAAGAUCCUCAUUUUAGACUAAGAUAUGCUCCAAGUUUCACUUUCAGAUAAAAUGGAGAGAGGCAUUAAAAGUGAAAUGAAUCCCUCAGUCAUUGCUAUUAAAAAAGUAUUUUUGAUCGGACGUGAGUGAAUGGGGUUGUUCCUUCUUUAACUAAAGAUUUCAGAUUUAAACGCUGAAUAUGACAAAAUCUUUGGUAGGGACUAGGGAGUGCUUCCCCCAAAUGGAAUCCUACGCGGUGCAAAUUCAAAAUACUCGAACUCUAAUUUGGGUAUCAAACACCAAAUAAAAAAUAAACAAAUAAAAUAAAAAAUCUUAGAUUUGUUUUGAUAAGGAAUGUGAAAAAAGAGGUCCAUAAAAUUAUCUUUUUGCAUGAAUUCCGUUGACAAAUAAUGAUGCCUUCCAUUCUUUGUUAUUACUAGUGGGAACAAAUUUGAUAUUUAAAUUUAUUGACUCGAUUAAUUUAUUCAUAACACAUAAAGCUUAUUAAAUUAGAGAGGAAUAUACUCCCUAACCGGAAUUUCUUCAAUUUCAACUCUCCUGUAUUUAUUUAUUUUUGUAAUUAAAUUGAUCUGAAUCGAAAAAUCAAGAAAGGAUAAUAAAAAAGUUAUAUAUCGAUAUUUUUGUCUAUUGUACACUUAUUAAUAUUGAUAUCACAAAACGAUAAACCGUAAAUUUGGUGAACAAUUAUAAAAUAAAUUUAAAAUGCAUAUUAAGGAGAUUAAUUUGGACCCCACCAAAAGGAAAAUAUACGGAUUAGCAAACAAAUCAUGUCAUAUUUAAGAUUAAAAGAGCUUCUUAUAUUCAUCCUAAUCAAACUUUUGUUGUUUGCCCAAAUGUUGUCUCAUCUCCAUUGGAUAUUUUAUCAGCCAGGCAAGCCAGAUAUUUGCAUGUUAGCACAAAAAAGCUUCACAUUUUUAUCUUUUCUUUACGAUGAUCGUAUUUUAAUCACUUUGUAUGCAUCUCAAUGAUUCUAACAGAUAUAUAUUUACUAUUAUUUUUUUUAUUUGUGCUUGUAUCAAAUAAAUGUAUUUGUCAACAUUUAACCGUAUUAUUUACUGAAUUUGAACAUUGAUCUUUAAGGUUCGAGACACGAAGAAAGUAAUUGAAUAAGCUUAUUAUAAAUUGAUAAAACUAAUUAAUAAACACUUAGAAUAUUAACUUACAUACAAAUUUGACAACAAUAAAAAAAAAAUUAUAAGCUAAAAUCCUUAUUAGUUAGUCAUUUUCAACUUAUAAUUUUAUAGCUUAUAAAUACUUAUAGUUUAACCAAGUCGAUCUUUUACGAGUUUAAAUCAUUUGUAAUAUCUACAAUACUCAUCCUAAAACAUAAGGUUUAUUUAUUUAUUUCUCUACUUAUAUUAUCGAUUCAUCAUUUUUUUAAUGCGCUUUAAAAUUUAUACAUUUGAAAAUAUUUUAAGGAUAUUUCGAUCAUUUAAUGUAAAAAACACUUUUCACCAAAUAUAUUAACUUUUUUUUAUUACUCUUAAUUUUUUCAGCACCUAAAAUUACUUUUCGAUAUUUGAUAUUUAUCAGCUAUUUUUAAUCAAUUAAUUCAAACGAAUGGUAAUUUAUUUAUUUUUUGUCUUUUUGAGGUGAUUAAAAGGUUGACAUAUUUUAGAUGAGGAACUUAUCUUGGUAUAGAUUAAAUCAAACUUUAUUUAAAAAAAUUGUUCCCUUCCUAAUAUUUAGAUUAGAGGUGGACCCCAUUUGCCUUCUUUUCAACCUCAUCACGUGUCGAGCUAACCUUAUAUUAUAUAACCAUGCGUGUCGAUUAAUUAAAGGCCUAAUUUUCAGUUCACAAUCGCUUAAUUACGUCAUUGAUAGCUACUAAUCACCUCAUAAAAAUCCACUAACGGAUGUGAUGUUGUAAAUGGAGUUGUUCCUUUUUUUAUUAGAGAUCUCAAGUUUGAACUUUGAGAAUAUGAAAAAAAAAAUUCUAUGUGAGCGCUUUCUCCCAAAUGAGUUCCUACAUGGUGCGAAUAUGAAAUAAUCGAGCUCCAAUAUAUCUACUUGAUACCAAUAGAGAAAAUGAAAAGAAAAAAAAAACUAACUAUAUAUUACAUGGACUACGUUUUUCUAUAAAAUGACAAAUGUACCCCGGUCUUUACAUGGUAUACAGCCAUAGGUUGAGAAUAUUUCUCAUCACAAGUUGUAGCUAUACACAUUAUUUUUAAAUGUUUAAGUAUGAAUUUUAUAUGCUUUAAAGUUGUGUAUACUCGUCCUCUUGAUAAUCUUGAGUGUAUUAUUAUUGUUUUUUAUAUUGUAAAAGUUACUUGCAUGGUAAGAUUAUUAAAAAGUUUAUUAUGAUGUUAUUACUUGCUAGAAAAUAGGGUAAGUGAACGGUUACAACCAAUUGGGGCAUAUAAAAGUGAACGGUCGUAGCUUUUUAGGAUUGGAUUCAUUUAAAUUCAAUAAUUUAGCACAAUGUAUAAAUUUGUGUACAAAAAGCCUCUAAAAUCACAAUAAAUAAUAUGUAUGAUCUUAUAUUUUUUCUACUUUGUAGUAAACAUGUAAUUAUUAUAUUUCUACUUGGUAGAAAAUAGGCUAAGUAAACGAUUACAAUCGAUUAAAACUACUGAUAAUUGUGGGUGGAGACAGGGGCAUAUAAAAGUGAACGGUCGUAGCUUUUUAGAAUUGGAUUCAUUUAAAUUCAAUAAUUUAGCACAGUGUAUAAAUUUGUGUACAAAAAGCCACUAAAAUCACAAUAAAAAAUAUGUAUGAUCUCAUAAUAUUUCUACUUGAUAGAAAAUAGGUAAUUAUUAUAUUUCUACUUGGUAGAAAAUAGGGUCAAUAAACGGUUACAACCGAUUAAAACUAUUAUUACCAUGAGCGUAGUCAGGGGCGUACAAAAGCGGUUGUAUCUUUUCAGUGUCAAAGUUGUUUAAAUUCAAUUUUAGCCCCAUGCAUAAAUUUGUGUAAAAAAAACUUCUAAAAUCGCAAUUAAUAGCAAGUAUGAUUCCAUUUAACAUAAUGAAUUCAAUGUCAAGAACCUUAAAUUUUGUAUCAACAAUUGAUUUUCUAAUUCGCCGAAAAAAGAAAGAAAGAAAAAAAAGUUAAAAUAAUAUAUAUAUAUAUAUAUAUAAUUAUUUUUAAAAUAUUAGUAAUAAAAUCUUGAAUUCCCUUAAAUUUUUCAGAUUUACUUCUUUAAUUUUGAAUUUCCUUAAUUAAAAAAGAAAACGCAACUCCACCGCUAUCAAUGAUGUAAUAUUUAUUUAUUAUUAUCUAAGCACAUCAUCGUCAAUAACAUUUCUAAUAUUAUAACAAGUAAAGUCUGAAAAAGAUUUAAAAAAAAUAUUUUUUUGAUAGACUUGUCUCAAACAAAUAUGAUAUAAGUGAUAGAAUUUUUAAAAAUAGAGUAAGUAGAUACUCUAAUUGGCUAAAUUUUACUAGUACUAGUAGUUUAUUUAUUUUUACAGUACUAAUGUAUAAAAUAAUAAAAAUAAACUAAAAUGUAUACCCCAUAUAAAAAGAAGUUGGGGGGAAGAAGAGCCAAAUAUUAUUAACCAAACCAAUUUCCAGCUGAUUUUCUGUAUUGUUGUACUACUAACUCACAGCACACACACCAUUUCUCUCUCUCCUAAACUUCUAAAUAUCUUUAAGCUGAAUUUUCGUACCAUACAAUUUACUCUUCUUGUUGUUGUUGUUAUUAUUAUUUUAUUAUAUAGUUUUAUAAUCAGCUCGCUCUGAUUAAAUAAAUUUGAAAAUUUAUCAAUUAUUGUGUUAAUGGAGAGUACCGAUUCAUCAACCGGCUCUCAUCAUCAGCCACAAUUGCCACCUGGAUUUCGAUUUCAUCCUACUGAUGAAGAACUUGUUGUUCAUUACCUUAAGAAAAGAGUUGCCUCUGUUCCUCUUCCUGUUUCUAUUAUUGCUGAAGUUGAUCUUUACAAAUUUGAUCCUUGGGAACUACCUGGUAUGUAAUUUUUUUUAUCGUGGUUUAUAGUUUGGUGGUAUCGAUUGAUGUGUGUUUUGUGCGAGUUUUAUUUUCUUCUUUUUCAUGUUAUAAAAUUUUAACGAAUUUUAGAUGUUUGAAAAAAUAAAUAUUCAUACAAUAAGUGUGAGUUUGAUUAUCUCGUUGUUCCACUUUUUUAUUUCUCCUCCCCCUUCUUUUUUUUCAUGUUAUAAAAUGGGAACUUUGAUCUUUUGUGGAGUUUUAAGUGUUUGAGAGUUUUUUCACAUAAUAAGUGUGAAUUCAAAAUUUUGAUUUUUCGAUAAUUUUUUUCAAGUGUUUGAGAAUUUUUCACUCGAUAAGUUUGUGCUUGAUACUCUUGUUGUAUUUCUCCUCUCGUUCUUCUUCUUCUUGAGGUAAUAAAAUGGUGAUUUUGAUUUAUUUUUUUUCGAUUAUUAAGUGUUUGAGAUUUAUUCAAAUAAUAAAUGUGAGUUUAAUUCUUGUCAUUCAUCUUUUAUUUUUUUUCUUCUUCUUUCAUGUAAUAGAAAAAUAUUGAAAAAUUGAAAUGGCAAUUUCGAAAUUUUGAUGACUUUUGAGUGCUUGAGAAUUGAGAUGUUCUAAUUUUGAUUCUCUUCUUCUUGUUCAUUUUUUUUUAUUUCCCGUUUCUUUUUUCUCUUCUUUUCCUAUGUUUAAAAUAGUAACUUUGAAUUUUUUGAUGAUUUUUGAGUGUUUAAGAAUUUUCUUCACACAAUAAGCGUGAAUUUAAUUUGCGUUAUACCUUCUUUUUAUCGCUUUAUCACUUUUUUCCAUCUUAUAUAAUAAAAAGGAUAAAUUUAAAAUAUGUUGGAUACUUUUUCACACAAUAAGCGUGAAUUUUAUUCUCGUUAGUUUUCUUUUUUAUUUCCCUUUCCUUCUUCUCUCAUGUCAUAAAUGACAACUCAAAAUAUUAUAACUUUUUGAGUGUUUGAGAAUUUUUCAGCAUGCAAUAAGUGUGAAUUCGAUUCUCGUUAUUCUCUCUUUCUAUAUUUCCCUUUUCCUUCUCCCAUGGAAUAGAGUUUUUUUUUUAUAAAAGGGUAAUUUUGACGAGUUUUAAGCUGUUUUUCAAUUUUCAUUUUCAGCUAAGGCGACAUUUGGAGAACAAGAAUGGUACUUCUUCAGUCCAAGGGAUAGGAAGUAUCCCAACGGGGCGAGGCCAAAUAGGGCAGCAACGUCCGGUUAUUGGAAAGCUACCGGAACCGACAAGCCGGUGCUCACCGCCGGCGGGACCCAAAAAGUAGGUGUCAAAAAAGCAUUGGUGUUUUAUGGUGGCAAACCACCCAAAGGUGUGAAAACAAAUUGGAUCAUGCAUGAAUAUAGGCUUGCUGACAAUAAAACAAAUAAUAAGCCUCCUGGUUGUGACCUUGCCAAUAAAAAAUCACUAAGGGUAAGUACUUUUUAUUUUUUAUUUUUAUACUUUAUUUUUAAAAAAUUCUUGAAUUUAAUGUUUUCAAAGCACACCAUUUGUUGGAAUAGUAAGUAUUCCUUUUUGUGAUAAUCACAUUAGCAAAUACUCCUAUAUUGGUAAUGUUUGUUUCAAUAUUUUAAAUAUAAUCUUUAAAAUUUGAACAUAAUGCAUUUUGAGUUUUAUCUAUGUUUUUUUAAAUAAAAUAAAAUAAAUAGAUACAAUUAAAUAGUUGUUUAUAUAUUACAUCUCCCUUUAAUAUAGAUGUAUUCAGUGGCGUAACUGACUUGGGUGCAUAUAUUUAAAUCUUGAAUAUUCGUAAUGAAAUAUCUUACCUCGGUACAGAUAUUACGUACCUGAUAUAGCCGCCACACAGAUGGAAGAAUCUAGUUAACAAAAAGAAAAGGAUUUAACAAAAUUGACUUUUGAAAGUAUUACAUUUGAUUGUCUUGAAUUGACUAAUCAAAUUUUUAUUUUUAUUUUUUUAAAUAUGCAGCUAGAUGAUUGGGUUUUAUGUAGGAUUUACAAGAAGAAUAAUACUCAAAGGCCAAUUGAUCAUGAAAGAGAUGAUUUGAAUAUUGAUAUGAUGAUGGGAUCAUCAUCAAUUAAUCCAUCAUAUAUACCAAAUUCAAUGUCAAUGCCAAAUAUAUUUGGUCAACCAAAAAUACCACAACUAAAAUCCUCAAAUUUUGGUACUACAUUACUUCAUGAUCAAAAUCAUGACCAAAAUUUAUUUGAAGGUGGAUCACAAUUUUCUUCAAAAAGGCCACUAGCAAAUUUGUAUUGGAAUGAUCAAGAUGGAGGAGCUAGUAAUGAUAAUUCUCAAUCAACAAAAAGGUUUUUGACGGAGAAUAUGGAAGACGGAUUAAAUAUGAAUGCUCGAGCAGAUGAACACAAUGGAUCUAUUGUAAGUCUUUUGAGUCAACUUCCUCAAACUUCGUCACUCCAUCAACAACAAGUACUAGGGUCUCUUAGUGACGGAGUUUUUCGACAACCUUAUUCGGGCAUGAAUUGGUACUCUUAGAUAUCGAAUUAAAAAAAAGAAGACGAUAUUGUGAAUCAUAUAUUAUUAUACCAUACAAGUUAAAGAUGUUUGAUUAUUACAGGAUCCUAACUAAUUAUUAUCGAUUAACGAGGGUGUUAAAUUAGAUUAGUGGGAUUGCUGGAUUUGGGUAUUGAGAUUUUGUUGGUUUUAAAUUAGAUGAUUUACAGUUUAGUGAAAAAAUAAUAAUAAUUAGGUGAGGACAUGUAUAUUUUUGUUUUAUUAACUGUUUGUUUUUACUUUAUAGUUAUAUAUAUAUAUAAAAAAAAAUACAUACAUCUCCAAGGUUUGUCUGUGAAUAGAGAUGCAUAGAAACAAAUCUUGUAAUUAAUCAUAUAUAUUUUAUAUCUUAUCGGGGAAAAAUAUACUAUGCACAUUUUAUUUUAUUUUUAUUUCUGUUGGCUUGACAUGAAUUUAGUUCGAAAAACAUAAUCAGUAACGAUUUAUCAUUUGUAUAAUUGAUCAUGACUUGUUUAGAAUUGAAACUUAGUUAUUGUUACGAUCAGAAAGAAGAACCAAAUAGAUUACUAAAUUACGUACUAUUUUUUUAAAAUAGAUUCACAAAACCCUAAAGAUUAAUUAAAUUAGAGAUUGUAUUUACUAAUUCUAUAAUUAUUUGAUAAGUAGCUAGUAAGGUAGGUUGCUAAUUUUGAUAAAUAAUUGGUUUUUAAUUUCCAAAAAGAAUAGAAUAUCAUUAAUUAAGUAGUGAAAUUUGCUACCUUAGAAGAAAAGAAAUCUUAUUAAGGGAAAAGAUAAGAAUCAUUUGUUGUUGUGGAAAGCUUAGUAAUUAAUAGUGACAUAUUCUAGAGGGAUCAUACAUUGCAUACAUGACAUGAUUGAUGCAAUUAUUUUAUUUGGAGAGAGAAUCAAACAAAUAGAAAGAUAAUCUCAAUGACUAUUGGAUUAUUGGAUCCAAUAUAAGUAUUAUUUAUUUAAAGAGAAAAAAAAGGAAAAAACAUAAUCCCUUUUCCAUUAAUUAAUUUUGCAUGAUAAUAUUUUUAAUUACAGUGGUGUUCGAAUCAAUUUAUACACACUUCAAUUUUAUAUUAAAUACAUAUUACUCUCUAUCAACGAAGAUACUAAAUAAUUUUGUCGAUCAAAACUAGGUAUAGACAGAAGUAGAUGCAGUUUUUGUUAUAAGUUCAUUUGAACCUAUAAUUUUCGAAGUAUACAUUUAUAUAUUAAAAUCUCAACAAAUAUUAUAUUACAUCAGAGUGUAUAAUUUUAACAACACAAAGAGUUCUGUACUACUUAAGAUAGGAUUAAGACAGACUGCGUACUCACUAACUUUUUCAAAUCAUAGUUCGUAGAAUUACAUUAAAUAUGAUGUACGUUAUUGUUGUGAUGAGUUCGGUGUUAUAAGAAACGUAAUAGUUCGAUUCAUUGAGUUUAAAUUCUAAAUUCAACUCAGGCUACAAAAGGAAAUCACCUAAAUCUUUUGACUUUGUCGAAAUUUAAACCUUCAUCUUUUGACAUGAUAUAUUAAUAAGGAGCUUUUGCUUUUUGUAUUUAGGAGAAACUAAUAAAAUUAUUUGAAUAGGAAAUUCCAUGAUAUAUUGUCUAGAUAUACUUGGGAUGUCAUACUUUUUCUUUGAUUAUAUCUCUACUCAUUUUCUUGGAUUAGAGAUGGGCAAAAGUAUAUUCCAAGAGCUAUAGGUCCUCACAAUAUUGACAACAAGAUGCUACCUCACAAUUACCUUUCUUUCUUUGUUGACUUGGGACCAUUUCACUAUCAUCAAAGGGGAAUCAUUAUCUCCAAAAAAAACAUAUAAUCUUUUCUUUUUUUAAUUAUUAUGUUAAUUGCAUUUCCUUUUCAAGGAAACAUAACAAAACUACUUUAAUAUGAUUUCAUUUCCCUACUUCUUAUUUUAGCAACAUAAUAUUUAAAAAGAAUCCAAAUGCAUGUAUCAAUAUCAUGGCUUCACAUCAUCUAUAUACAACAAGUAUACAUAUAGGUGUGAACACACAUUAUAUUAUAUAUUUCUUUUUUAUCUUUUUACUUGACGUAAGUUCAACGAAAUACUUGAUUUUUAGUAUAUAUAUAUUUUUUGCAUUCCUAAAAUACGUUGUAUCAUACGUACGUAUAUGUAUUGCCAAGUGUACAAAAGAAGAAAAUAAUAUCUUUUACUUGCUAGAUUAAAAUAGUUCAUGUACCUCAAUUUCAAAAUUAUACAUUUAGAGGUUAAGAAAUGCUUUUUUGAGUAAAAUGAAAAAGGGUCUAAAAGAUAUUAUUUAAAUUUUAUUUGCUGAAAAGGGAUGGUCAGUUUGAAUUUAUGACUUCAAUAAAUAUGUUGAAAUUUCUGUUAAGCCCACUUGAAAUGAUAAUACAUUGUCAUAAUCUUUCUCAACUGAUUUUAAUGAUAUUGUGCUGAAUGCACUAUCUUGUUGAUAGAUAGAUAUAUAUGGUAUAUUACUUCCAAAAAAAGGUCUAUUAUUAUUUAUAAUUAUUAAGCCCAUGGCCAAAGAUUAAACAAAUAAUAAUUGCUAGAAUAAUUGAUUGAUUAGACUCCUAAUGUUAGUAGGUUAAAGAAAAUUGACUACAUCAUGGCCUCUUCUACAUGCACUAAUGGUUAAAUAUUUAUUUUCACAUGUUAUUUAUAUCAAAUCAUAUAAAUUUACUAUUUACAAGAUGAUUUAACGAGGUAAGAAAUACAUAAAAGUUUGAUUUUUGUUCAAAUAGUAGUAGUGCCCUUUGGGGGGGGGGGGGGGGUGGGAUCNNNNNNNNNNNNNNNNNNNNNNNNNNNNNNNNNNNNNNNNNNNNNNNNNNNNNNNNNNNNNNNNNNNNNNNNNNNNNNNNNNNNNNNNNNNNNNNNNNNNNNNNNNNNNNNNNNNNNNNNNNNNNNNNNNNNNNNNNNNNNNNNNNNNNNNNNNNNNNNNNNNNNNNNNNNNNNNNNNNNNNNNNNNNNNNNNNNNNNNNNNNNNNNNNNNNNNNNNNNNNNNNNNNNNNNNNNNNNNNNNNNNNNNNNNNNNNNNNNNNNNNNNNNNNNNNNNNNNNNNNNNNNNNNNNNNNNNNNNNNNNNNNNNNNNNNNNNNNNNNNNNNNNNNNNNNNNNNNNNNNNNNNNNNNNNNNNNNNNNNNNNNNNNNNNNNNNNNNNNNNNNNNNNNNNNNNNNNNNNNNNNNNNNNNNNNNNNNNNNNNNNNNNNNNAGGUGGGGGGGCCGUUGGGGGGGGGGGGGUGGGUUGUAUCAUUUAUACUUUUGCUUUUCUUUAAUUUUUACUCUUUAAGAUAAUUUACUUUUUCAUGGUACAUAAAUUUUUAUUUUUUUAUUAUGAUAUUUCAUAAAUCUUGUCUCACGCUUUUAAAGAACUUAUAUCUCGGUGGUUCGCCUCUACUAUCGCUCCUUAUUUUUCUAGUGGUAAAAUAAAAGGGGAGAUGAUAGUGUUAGGUGGUAGGAAGAGCUCAAAAUAAGAGCCUAAAAUUAUGGGAUCUUUAUUUAGCUAAAUUGCUUUUUUAGGUAAAAUCUUAAUAUGUUAGGUAAUUUGAUAAAAAUGUUUAUACUAAUUGCAAGAGCCCAUUUUCAUCACCUAGCGUAAAAAUACCUUUUUUUAAAAUCAAAGUUCUCUCGAAAUUUAAUUCAAUAAAUAAGCCAAAAGAACAUAGAGAGGGGCAGGACCUGACCUCUGUUACGUGAUACUAUGAGUGACAACGUGAUACUAUGAGUGACAAAUACAUCCUUACAAUACAUAAGCCAAAGGAACAUAGAGUGGGGCAAUAGUUGACCUCUGUGUCACGAUACUAUGAGCGAUAAAUACAUAAUUACGCUCUAACUUUUUAAAAGAAAAAACAUAUGUGGUAUUCAUCAUCAUCAUCAUAAAAAAAGUGAACUCUUUGAAAAUGAACUUUCAAAUUGAAAAACUUGAGAAAGAAACUUUGUUGUUGAGCUUAACAAUUCAAAGAUACUCUUAAUAUAAUAUGAUAUUAUCAGCUUUAAAACAAGUCCACACAGAUUUUUUCCAAAAUAGAAGUAUCCAACUUCUUUUCUACUACUUGUAAGUUGUUGCAAUUUUAACAAUAUUCCAAGACGUGAGGGUUGUAGUAUAAUUUCAAGAACUAGAGGGGAUAGCUUUACUAUUAAACAAAAUAUAAGGUAGCUUAAUGCAAUUUCAUUUUUUUGUGAAGAGACAUGUAGAAGAGGUGCUUUAAGUAAGCAUUGCAUCAUUUUUCUUUUGAGCCGAGGGUCUACCUCUCCGUAGAUCUUACCCUCUUCAGACCCCAUUUUGUGAGGUUACAUCAAGUAUGUUGUUGUAUUUUGCAAGUGAAAUGAAAUGUACAAGAGAAGAACAAACAAAGUAUCAGGCUUGAACCACCAGUUCCCUUCAUUCAUAUUUCAUGAUCCUUUAAGACAGUUAAUAUUAUGUUAUAAGCUAUAUACUUCUAUUAUGUAAGUUUCAACAGAAACUUCAGCACCAACAUUAGAGGUCGCGAUUGCACUAUUUUACAAUUACUACAAAAGAAUUUGUGUACAUACGCGGAGGAAAGAGGGCUGCGUGCAGUAUGCAUAAAUUAUAAACGAGUAUCUCAGAGGAUGCUCUCUGAGAGUAUGGUACAGCAAGUAUCUGCAGCUAUAUCACCUCAAAGCUAUGCAUUUCCGCGAAUUUUUGUUGUGUCAUUGCUCUUCCAUUCAUUUACUCCUACAAAACGCAUCAAAUUGAGGUAGCAUGUCAAUACUGACUUCACCAUACAUUCACAUCUUGCAAGUAAGAAGCUAGCUAUUUCACAUACCUGUGGUGGGCUUAUCGAGGGAGGUUGCGCCUCUGCUUCUACGAUCACCUCAGAGACUCUAGAUUCUGAUUUCUCAUUUGAAUAACUAAUAGAUAAAAAAAACAAAUGAAGUCAGAAUAUGAUGCACACCUCGUGUAGUUCCAUUUGCAUUAUUUGGUCAUCAAAGUUUGAAAUAACGUAGGGUACUACAGAUAGGUCCUACCGAUUGGACAAACAAAACAAAUACAAGCAGUAAUAACAUGUAGAUUAACCAUUCAUUAGGAAAUCUAAUUCUCACAGCUGACAGCAAGUCAACAUGAUUAUCCCUGUGCGAAAAGACUAAGCGGAGUGAUUGAUCUACCUGCCUCUAAAUAGUCCAUGGAUAACAUCUUCUUGAAGAAUAGGAAACCUUUGGGAGUUCACAUAUAUACUAAGAGAAUAAAGAUGGACUACCAUCAAUUUCCUUAACUAAGAUAACAUUCAAUGAAAAAACCAUUGGCAAAAUUAACUACCUCGAAAGAAUACGGUGUUGAAUUAUUCAUGCCAUCAUGCUUAUAGUAUUUCCGAAACUGAGUCUUUGAAUACCAUGCACCAAAACAGUAAAAAAUUGUGAUUGAAUUUGGGAUGCUUACGUUGAGAGUAUUGUCACCCAAAUGAGUUCCACACAGUCAACCCAAAGAAGCCUUUGUUCAACCGGAAUUACACCAUAUGUAAUUAGAUGAGCAAAUGGCCACAGCUUCCAACCAGCCUGAAAAUGAGCCACAUAAAGAGAAUCUGUGUUAAAAGGGCAUCCUGAUGCAUGUGUUGCAUGAUAGAAGCAUGAAUGCAAGAAACAACGAAUUAUGAAGGAUGUAAACUACAGGAUACUAUCAUUCAAUCACUUUUCAGAUCUGCACACCAAAUGUCAAUUUAUCAACAGAACAUAGGUUUAAUUUGGACAAGUGAAGUAUUAUGGAGAUUCAAAUGAACACCCUGACAUAGAAAUCUUCUUUGAAAAUGUAAAGUAAUGUUCAACUAUGAAAGAAUUAUGGACCAGAAUAAAUGCCACAAAACUGAAGAGAAAAUGAACAUGAGCCGCACAUUAGCAACUAUGGUCAUGUAAAUAACAUGAUAAAUUCAUAGAUAUGAAAACCAAGAAACAAUAAUGUUAAGAACCACUGCUUGAUGCGGAAUAAGUUCAAUUAUAUAAAGGUGAUACUGUAAUUGAAGUAACAACUAAGAGCAGAAGGUCUUCUUACAGUCAACAUUGGCAAGAAUGUAGCCUUCAAUUCACUGAAAAUGGCAAGAGGGGAUUCAAAACGUAAAAUUCCCAAAACUGUGAAGUAGAUGCUGUUCCAAAUUGCUGACCAAACAGUUUGAUCAAAGGCAACCUUGACAGGAACCACCCACCAAUCUUCGAAAGGAAACAGUGCCUAAUACGAAUCAGAGUGUGUUGCUUAGUCCAGAACAAUUAAAACCUAUAAUUCCACAGCCAUGGAAGUAUGAAACAUUUAAAAAUAGAAGUACCUCACAAAACUGAUAAUAAUAAUGAGAGAGGGAUCCAUGUAGCGUGAAUCCAACUAAGCCUGAUCUCAACAUACGUGCACGAUCGAUUUCAAAAAGAGGCUUCCCUUCAUAGCACUGCAAUUACAGGGAAACUAAUUAAUACCUGUGGUGAAAAAACAAUUUCAAGUGAUUCAUGGCAUUUGCAGAACUUUCUAUUCAAUCCCCACUAACCUGUGCAAUCCAAUCCCCAACAGAGUAAACCACUCCACUGAUAACCAUUUUAGCCAAAACUGGAUUUCUUUUAAGGGCUUCCUCGUAUGCAACCCAGUUGUGCUGAGGUGCAUAUCUCAAUAUCUCAAAUAAGGUCCAUCCCUGAAACAGAAGGAUAAUGAGCUAUAUUCUCCUGGAAAAUAUGUAUUUGAGCUAACAUUACUACAAAUUGCUCCAGAGAGAACUAAUUCCACAAUAAACAAAUAUGUUUCAAUGUGGUGAAAUCCAAGAAUAUAUAACUAUAAGAAAAAAAAUGAUACAAGGGAAAAAACCAAUUAGACUGCAUAGAACUGUUAGAUUCUCCUAUUAGACCAAAAGCAGAUACAAAUAAACAUCAUAACCCAGCCUAUACACAUGUAAAUAACUGCGACAUGAUAUUCAUGAAUAAGCUGCAAAUGAUUUGAAUCACAGAAGACUGACGACAUCAAGAAAUACAGAUCCUUAAUCAAGAACAAAACAUCUACAUGAGGAUUUCCCCCCUUGAACAACAGCAUAGCAGAGAACAUACCAAUCCAAGAGGCACCAAAAUCAAUCGACUUAUAUAUCUAUGUGUGCCCCAGUGUGUGUUUCCACCUAAAUGGAAGGUACUUGGAUACUCAAGCUAUACAUAUUAAACAUAUCUUUUUAGCUUAAGGUGCAAAGAUUUCUCCUUUAUCCUUUUUCAUUGCGUGUAGCCUACUGGUCAAUGAAGUGGAUUGAGAAUCAUGAGGUCUCACAUUCAAAUACUAGCAAGACAAAAACACUACGUGAUUUCUUUUCAUUUAUCGUAGCCUUGGUGGAUAGAGUUAUCUAGUAUGGCAGGGGUGGUCCAUGGUAGUUAUCCCGUGGAAUUGAUCAAGGUACACCAAGCUAAUGAGUUUUUGAGAGACACAAUAUGCAAAUGUUUAUGCUCAGAACAAUCAGCAAGUUAGUUAUUUAUACAACUAGUAACAAGUAACUUACAUGCCAGUAAUCAUGAUCAAUAGUGAGCAAUUUAGUAAUAGCAAAAGAUCCAGCAGCUAACACAAUAGUUGCAUUUAUAGCUCUAUCAAUAAGUUUCUCCACAUCCGACCCACCAACACCACUUGCCGAAGAAAACCCACCAGCACCUUCAAACGAUAACCUCCCUUCAUUUCCAAACCCACCCACCACCUGAUUUACAAUAUCCAUCUCUCCGCCCCCUAAUUCCGGUUCUCUUUCCAAUCCAAUUACGACCCCGUUUUGCUGGUCCGUAACGUCAGUACUUUGAACCGGAAUCACGUCGGCUUCGUUUGUUACCGAACCCACUACAACCCAAUCCCUCAACUGCUGAUUCUGCUGUUUAAGACCUUUGAAUAAGAAUUGAGACUUCAUGGGUUUUGAUAGAGAGAGAAAGGGCUUUGAGUUGGAUUUUUGUAGAGAGAGAAAGGGCUGUGGUGAGGUCAAGCCAUUGAUGGUCGCCAUUGAAAUGGAGAAAUCUUAGAUCAAAGCUCACUUCACCUUCUUUCUCUCUGUUCUAGCUAACAGUAGAACAAAGAAAUUUUUUAUAUGGAAGAAGAUCACUCACGUACUUCGCGUUAUAGGAUAAUUACAAUGAUCCUAUUAAAAACAUGUGACGUAAAUUAUUAAUUUUAUCUUCGAAUUAUGAAUAGCCUUAAAAACAUAGUACUCUUAAUAAAAGUUGGGAUAUUUUACUUAUAUUACAAGAUCGGAGGCAGGUAAAAGAAUAUUUUUAAAUCUGUCAAUAGUUUAGGGAGGAAAAAAAUAAUUCAAACACAAAUUUGGAAAUGUUUUCAAUAAUUUUUUCGUUGGAUUUUAACAAGGUGGUUUUUGAUUGGUUGAUAUGUGGAGGUGCAGGUGAUAAUGGUGGAGCUCACAUGCUCUUUUUCUUAUGUGACUGCGCUAGCCUCAAGCCAAGUAAGAACAAUCAUAACCAAUAAUUGAGCAUACUCUAAAAAUAUGAUAACUUGAUUUUUUUAGUAGUAUUUAUUCUGAUUUCGAAAUAGGAGUAUAUGAAAUGGUUUGUCAUUUUUUUUUUUACUUUUGAUAAAUAAUAAGAUGUAAAAAGUUAUAAAAUUGUGUUCUAAAUAAACUUUAUCAUAGAAUUUGGACCAACUUAACAUAAAUAAACAGAGAAAUUUUAUUUAUAUUACUAAAAUUAAAAGUACUAAGGUAGGGUAUUUUCUUUAAAUUCAUUUAAGGGUGCACGGCUUUGAUCAACUUGGCACUUGGACAGUUGGACUUCUCUAUAUUUUCAUAAAAGUAGGCAAACAACGGAGACCAAAAACAUGAUUUACUUAGACGGGUGAAAGAAGAUAAAGAGAAGUUUCGCAAUAUUGUAAAUUGAUUGGAACAUUAUGAUUAUUAAAAUAAAAUUAGGCAAAGAGAUACCCUAUAGUAUAUAUACUAUAUAAAUUUUUUUAUUUUAAAUUUAUCGAUUUCUUGUGAUGCAUGUUUGUAGGGAAAUAACUUUUUUCAAGACAAUAGAAAAUAUUAAAAGAAAAAGGAAAAUAACGUUCUUGGAGUGUUGUAGAUUGAUUGGCGAAGUCAUGAUCCACUUAAGUCGACUCGUUUUGGUAUCUUCUUUCUUCUAUUUGUUUCAUACGUACUAUGUUCACAUGGUGCAGAUUUUAAAUGAUUUACAAUAUAAGCUAUCUUAAAAUAUUCUAUAAAUUUCUUAAUAUAAACACAAAGUAAAAACAAACCCCUCCCUUUCUAGGGCAUAAAAUCAAAAAUAAGAAAAUGUUUUGGACCAAGUUUCACAUAAAGUAUUAUACACAGAAAUAAUAUAAUUUGCCUAUUUAAAAAAUAGUCAUUAUCAUGACAUUUAUAUUCCAGAAAAUGUAUCCUCAAAUUUCAAUCAAAUGUGGGGCAAGAUCGAGAUGGGUUCAAAAUAAGAUUCGAGAAAAGUUAGGAAAGUAUAGUUAGUUCACACAUUUAUGUUGGUGGGCACCUAAAUAUUUUUCUUUUAGACCAUCAAAUAAUUGUUGAUUUUUUCCCUAAAUAAUUAGGGUCAUUUAUUGUGGGCAAGGACGCUACCAACAUUUUAUCUACAAAUAUACUAUGAGACAAUAAUAACAGUUGGCUGCCCUUUAAACCAUGCAAAUAAAGUCUUCUAGUCUAGUAUAUAAUAAAUAAAUAAUAUCCAUAGUUAUAAAAAAAUAAAAAAAUAUUCCAAGUUGUUUUCAUUGGAAAAUUCUUGAGGCAAAGGAUUUUUAGAAAUCAUGCAUAUGCCUGUCUUCUUCAUAUAUUCUCCAACUAUAAUUCAUCAGUUUUUAUUCUGAAAUUAAAUUCCAUGUUAGUGCAUUGUUUGUUACUUAAGACUUGGAUGGACUUGUUGAUUGUUUUCACAAGUUAUGUAGAUAUAAUAUGGUUUAAGUUUCUAAGUUGAAUCUUUUCUAGCUUGAUGAGUUUAGGUUUAAGUUAUCAAGAUUGAAUUAUGAUUCAUAGUAGUAAGUAAAGAGUGUUAGGUUUAUGAACAAGUACUUAAAUUAUAAUGUGUAUAUUAUAAACUAAAGUUAGUUUCUAGUGUUUGGUCAGUUAGAAGGAAAUAUUGUUCCAAAAACAUUAUGAUAUCACCUAGGCAAAUACUAUAACACUGAACUUGAAUCCCACCCUUUAACAUGGACUCAAACCCCUAUCCCGUCUGUGACCUAAGAUCUUAUUUGAUCACAACAUCAAAACCAAGACCCAAAAUCCAACCUGACUCAAGACUUGACCUCGAUCCCACCUCAAAACUUGACCCUCGACUUGACCCUGGUCAAACUAUAAUAAUACCAGGCAAUCAACCCUAGCCACAACCCAAAAUUCAAGACUAAAUUAAGAUCUAAAGCCGACCUUGCUCCCGAACAGAGAUCGUUGACCAAUUCCCAACAAAGACAUAACCUUGACCUUGAGUCGAGGUCAAGGUUAGGUUAAGCUUUAAGAUGGGUCAGAGUUGAGGUCGAGUCUGGAGUCAGAAAUCAUGUAGUUAGUCUUGGAUCGAGGGUCAAUAGUCUAAAGUAAGGCUUGAAAGUUGAGUCCUAGAUUGGGGUCAAAAUCAGGAGUCAAGGGCGAGAGUUAGAUCUCGAGUCUCAAGUCAGGUUAGAGUUGGGUCUAGGGUCGGAGUCAAAAGUUGGAUCUAAGGUCGAGGAUGAAAGGUGGAUCUCGAGUCGAUCUCGGGUUGGGUUAGGGUUGGGAGUUAAGUCACGGGUUGAGAUCGGAUCCAGAACUGAGUCGAGUGAUGACUGGUGAUGCCGAAGAAAGUUUUGAAAAAUAUUUUCCCAUACUUUAUGUAGAGAACCCAUUUUCCUUAAAUUUGAGGAAAAUAAGUCAAUUUGAAAAACAUUUAAUCCAAUCAAACAUGAGAAAAUUGGAAAGACAUUUUUCUUCGUACCAAAAACACGCAGUUGGUUUUGUUAAUAUACCUUAUACUAGCUUAAUCCAAUAAAAGCAUUUAACCCAGUUCAUUCAAAAUUACAAUGAACAACUCAUCCAAUUCAUUUUAAUUACUAGAAAAUCGAAGGUCAUUCAAAAUUCAUUACAUGUUUUAACCAUUUAUACUAUAGCCAAAUGACCCAAAUAGGAUACAAAAGAGUGGAGGAAAAGUUUAAACAAUAGCCAAAUUGUCCAAAAGAGUAGAGGAAAAAGUUUAAACAAUAACCAAUUGACAAAAAGAGGGGAGGAAAAAGUUUAAACAAUAGCCAAAUUUACCGAAAGAGGGGAGGAAAAAGUUUAAACAAUAGCCACAUUAUCCAAACAAAGUAAAAUCAGAGUGGAAAUGGGAAGAUGGAGAGCAAAUCAGUGUUCAGUGAGCAGUUAGAAUUUUCACUGACACACAGAAAUCUCAACGUUAGCCCAUUUUAGUUUAUUUUUUCCGUUCGCCUGAAUUAUCAAUUAGUACUAAAUCAGAAACGAAUCGUAAAGAGGAUCUUCGUCUCCGGGAAUUGCCGAUCUCAGCUCAACACAUAUGUUUUCUGCAGAUCGGUAAUGGCGAACUUCUUAGCUCAGUUUCAAAGUAUUAAAACUACUUGCGAUCACGUUGUCAUUGCCGGUAAACAAAUCUCAUCUCUCAUUUCUAUUUCAUACAAACCCUAGCUUCAUCGUAGUAGUAGUAAUUUGAAUUGUAGUUUUGCAAUGACUGGCGCCUGGCGGUAGCACCGGCUACUGCCGUUUCAACUAUAUCAGUAACGUGAUGGAUCAGUGUCUCCUAGUUUUAGAUCAUUUUGAAAUGCUUACUAGUUAUAUGUCAGAUAUAGAUAGCCAAUUUUAAGGCGGAAUUGCAGAACUUGAUUAAUCUAUUGCAAUUAAUAUAAAGUUAGAUAAUGGCGGAACACAAUGGAUUGGAAGGAUCUAAAUUGGUGAUACUAAGUAGUUUUGGAUUAGUGCAUUGUUUUUGUAGUUCCACUUAAUAUUAGGUCCAGUGUUUGUCAGGGGAGACUCACAUGUUGAGUGAGAUUUAGGGAACAUCUAGUCUUAGACAAAUUAUUUAGUAUUGAAAUGAAAUUGGCUAAUUGGAUUUAGAAAUAGCAGAACCGAGCGAGCUUGUGAUGGAGUUGUAGCUGAUUGGAUGUGCAUGUGUUCGAAUUAUGUGGUACAACCGUGGGUAGUAAGUCUGUUGUUGUUUAGAAUUGUUGCCACAUUACUGAAGUUAAUGCACACUUCGGAUAUUGAAAAGUUAAGGCGGUAGUUUUGGUAGGUGCUGCUACUCUUGGCUUCUCUACUUCAGGCUUGUGUGAGGACCUUUGUUUGAGGUGAGAUUCUAUAGCAGGUUGUUAGAUUUCCCGACUUUAAUGCUGUAAUUUAUUAUGUACCUGUAUAUUAUAUUUAGUUUCUAACUUUCUAAUUGUUUUAACUUUGCAUCAAGUAUGUCUGUGCGCACCUGGAAAAUUGUCUCUAAUUGAGCUAUUCCUAUGUACUCUUAUUAAAAUCUGGCACCUAUACUUGAAUAAGUAACCUCUCUUAUGUUACUACUAAUAUCUCGUGCCCAUUUUAUCCUCUGCUAGUAUUAGAAAGUUAGAAACAAUUAGAAAGUUAGAAACUAAAUAUAAUAUUAUUUAGUCUCUACUAGUAUUGCUAGAGCAUAAUCCUUAAUUAGGAGCUCUGUGAGCUUCAAACUAUGACUUGUUCGUCUUGUAAAUUUUUUACUUUUUGUGCAUUAUCUUGUAUGUCUCAGUUGCUCAACUUCAUUUCUCCAAUAAAUUACUUUGCAGUUGAAGAUGUCAGUGAUUUAUGGCCCCUUGUAAAGAAGGGGUUUGAAGACCAUUUGCCAUUCAAGAGAGCUUUUCUCAAUAACAAAACCCGUAAUCCUGUGCUUGUGGAUGAAUUGCCAGCUGAAUACAUAUUGACCACAGAUUCGAGACUUCGUAGUCGAUUUCCUCAAGAGCAAUCAUUAUUUUGGUUCCGAGAGCCAUAUGCUACCGUGGUUCUUGUCUCAUGUGAGGUAGAAAGCAUACUUGACUUUUUAAAGUUGAAUUUUCUAUCUUUGCAUCGUUAUUCAAUAUAUAACAGCCUUGAGUGAGUUGUUGUUGUUAAUAUAAAAGAUGCAGUUGUUCAGAAUUUGGAGAGAUGAUGGUGUGUAUCGCAACUGAUCAGUGAAAAGAUGUUAUGUAGAGAAAAUAACAUGUACCUAUCUUUCCUAUAAAAAAAGAAAAGUAAAAAAAAUAUGUACUUAGCUUAAUCUAUGCAAUUGUCUCACUUUAUACAUUUCAAGUAUUAUAAAUGAUAAUGCAUCCAAGGGUGUGACAUAAUGGUCAGGGGAGAGCCAUGAGGUCUUUAGGUUCAUAUCCUAGCAGAGAUAAAAAACACUACAUGAUUUCAUCCCAUCGGCAUAAACCUUGGUGGAUAGAGUUGUUCCAAUCUCUUUUCAGUCCUUUCAAGUAUCCCUUGCCAUAUUACAUGGACUUAUUCUUUGACCCAAGAGAUUAAAUAGCAGAAUAAUAUGAUUAAAACUUAAAAGGGGCAAGUGGAGCUACCAUUGUUAGCUUAUAUUCCUGUUUGGAGAGGACUAAACUCAUAUAUGGUUGGUGGCUGAAAUGGAGGUAUCUUUUGCCAAGUAGCAUCUGUAUGGAGAAAACAAAGAAAGUAGGGCAUAUCGAGUGAGAAUUUUUUGAAGGAGAAAAACAGUAGAAUAAGACAAAUUAUAUGUGUAGUUAGUAAGGAGGAGACCUCUAGCUGGUUAUACCCACGACUGAGUUAGUGAAAUGACCCAUUCAAACUCAUUUUCUUGGAUAUUCACGAUGGAAGCAUUUCUCCAGUGGCAGACAACAUGAUCUUACAGUUAAGGUAGUUGCUUAUAUUUCAGCAUUCAUCUGUUGUAAAAGUAAUUGAAGUAGACAAGAAGUUCCAGUUUCGCUAAAAAAAAAUUGGCCUCUUCAGUGAGGAAAUAAUUGGCAGUUAAGGAACAACCCUGACAUGCUUCCAACUUUUGAUGGUCCUUUGAGUUUUAUUUUUGAUAACUCAAGUUUUUUUUUUUGACAGCCUCUUCUAGCUUAAACUGCUUGAUUAACGUCCAAAUAUUUAUUCUACUUUUGCUUCUUUUAUUUUGAAGAUAGUUUCUUGUUUGUAUAUGGUAAAAGUUGAUGGUUCUUUUUCCUUGUUAGGAUCUUGAUGAGUUCAAAACUAUUCUCAAGCCACGCCUAAAGUUAAUAGUUCAAAAUGAUGAACGGGAGUGGUUCAUCGUGUUCGUGUCUAAAGCAGCAGCUCACAAUGAUCAGUCCACCAAGAUGGCAAAAAAAGUAUAUGCUAGACUUGAAGUUGAUUUUAGCUCCAAGAAGAGAGAAAGGUGUUCCCCUGCUGCAAAUUAUAUGAGUUCUGAUGCAAUUAACAAGUGUGCUGAUUCAGUGCCACCCAUGCAUCUCAAAAAAUAUUUUGCAAGUCCUGAAUUUUCUCUCUUUACAAAUAAAUUGACUAAAUGGGAAAUAUCAGAAGAAUAUUUUAAAUACUUACAGAAACCAUUAGUGCAUCUUGUGAGAGGUACAGGGAUCGUACUCCACAUCUCAAUCUUAGUUCUUACUUCUUCCAGUCAAUAGAAACCAUUAGUGCAUCUUCUUUCUAAAAAUAAUCAUGAAGGACAGUUAUGUAAUGUUUCUAAUAAGAAGGCUAAUUAGAAAUUUACCAUUCUUCCUCUCAUGGAUUUUGGCACCAAGCUACCUUUCUUUUGACAGGUUGUCAUACAGUCAACUUUCACUGCAUCUGGUCUUUUCCGUUAUCUGUUUUGAGUUACAUUAGUAUUUUCUUCAGAUCUCUAUGGUAUUCAUCCAGUUAAAUAACAUGCUAAAAUUACGUGAAAUGAGAGAGAUCGAAUAGCCUUGAGAGGAGACAGAAGUGUACCCAACUAAUAUUUUUGUUCUUCCUUUUAAAAAUAACCUGGAUCUUAACACCCCAAAUAAAUUCUCUCUCUAACCUAUUUGGAUAUAUGCUUUGUAUUAGAUGUUGCAAACUAGACUUUCAUGGACCUGAUACAAAUUUCUGGGAUGACUUGGAAGCCAAGAUCAUGGAAUGCAUCAGAAAUACGCUUGAUAGGCGCAUUCAGUUUUAUGAAGAAGAAAUACGGAAGCUCAGUGAACAGCGCUUCAUGCCUGUGUGGAACUUCUGUAACUUCUUCAUUUUGAAGGUAAUACAACAGCAACAACAAUAUUCCCAGUGUGAUCCCAAUUUUUUUCUUCAUCAUUAGCAGGAUUGUCAGAUGCUAGUGCCUGGAUUCACGAAUAUAGAAAAGUUUCAUUGUUUAACAAUCUACACAUGAUUUCAGAGAUUAGUAACUCCUGUUUGGAAGGCAUUUUAGUGCGAUAUAUCUUCUAUUGAAGAUCAUUUGACCUUCUUGGUAGUAAUGAGUUUGCUUUAUGCUUUAUAUCAGUUAGUAGGUUAGCUUUAGAUAAUCCAAGUGAUUAUAUUAUGCUUAUGUGGAGUUGCCUCAAACUAUUGCAUUUUUUGCUCAGAGUUAGAUUUUAUUGAGAGGAUCCAUGUUCUGGAUUUUCAAUAACAACUUUUUCUCAUUUAACAGGAGAGUCUGGCUUUUAUGUUUGAGAUUGCUCAUCUCCAUGAAGAUGCAUUACGUGAAUAUGAUGAGCUAGAACUCUGCUACUUGGAAACAGGUGCUUAAUGGCUGACUCUUUUUAUUUUCCUCCUCAACUUCAAGAUGGAUUAAUGUUAAUUGUUUAAAUUUAUUGCUGAAAACAUACUUACCCUUCUUGUUUGCUGUUGACCUCUUUACUUAGCCAUCUUGACUAGUUUGCCUUCUUUCUUGUUAUGCUACCAGGUUUCUUGGUAUGAAGGAAAAUGUUUUCCAUGGAAAAUAAGUGGAGUUUCUUACUUAUUUUCUAGUGUUUGGUAAGCAAAAAAAUAUUGUGCAAAAGCAUUUAUCUGGAAUCCAGAAAAAACAUUAUGCGGGUGGGAUGAGGUGGGGUGGGGACCGGUGGUGGUGGUGGCCGGUGGGUGGAAUGGCCAGGGGUGGAGGGUGGGAAAGAGACAAUGAGCUUGAUAUGCCACUGUUGAAACUUGUUUCCCCUACUUCCAAUAGGGAAGUCAUAAAGAGAUUCUUUUUUUCCAUAAAAGUCUGAAAUAGAUUGCCUGAUCAAGAGAUUCUUUUUUCCAUAAGAAAUACCAUAAUUUAGAAAUCCUCAAAUAUCUCCUUAGGGUUCUCUAUAUUUCUCUAUGGCAUUUGUCAAACCUAUGUAUAUGUGAAUUUGCAUUAUGUCCUACAAUCCUGAUGCUCUUCAUAGGUCAUUGGACCCAAGAUGCUUGCAGCUAAUCCUUAAUAUAUCACAAUCUAUUCCACCCCAGUAGUUCUUUUGACAGUAGAAUUUUUUUUGAUUGAUGAACAUUCUGAUUUAUAGUAGUACUUUGUACUAUAAAGUUUGACGGGAAAGAAUACAUUGCUAAAUCCAUUUAAUUUGAUGACAUGAUAUCAUCGAUGGCUUUUCUUUCUUAUUGUAACAUGAGAAACCACUGUGAAUUCUGUGAUAAUAUAUAUUAUGCUUUGUAGUUUACUGUUUAGGCUAACUUGAUUGCUCAAAUUGUAUGUUGUGUUCUGGUUAUGAAGAUGCUAAACAUGAUAACUGACCCGACCUUUAUAUGUCACUAUUGAUUAGUGAAUAUGACUGGGAAACAGAGGGACUUUGGAGGAAUGGACAGCGGCGAUGAUCAGGCUGCAUUGCUCAACCCAGGGAAAAAAGCACUUAACCAGAUUGUUCAAGAUGAUUCUUUUAGGGAAUUUGACUUCAGGCAGUAUCUAUUUGCCUGCCAAUCAAAGGUGAGUAUGGCAAGACCUAUGAUUAAAAUUGGCUAGUUUUGCAUAAGAUAUGAAUCUUUUCUUAUUCAGUCGGAGGAAAAAUACUGCACUGCUCCCUUGCAUUCAUCAUCCUUCUUUCUCUUAUGGGACAUGAAAAAAAAAUUGCCCAUAACAAAAGGUGAAAGGAAUUCGAGUGUAAUUUCUAGUAAUGCUCCAAAAUGUAGGUUUUUUUGGCACUGUGAUGGUUGCGCUCGCAACUCUAGCAAGUUAAAUCAAUUUGCUCAUUCCUAAUCCAUAACGUGCAUUCUCAAAGAGGAUCAUAAAUAAUGAGGAGGAAGUCAGCUGAUUAACUUGCUAGGGAAUUUAUCACUUCAAUCUUGGAUAGAUUUAUCUGUUACAAAAUCUUUUGUUACUUCUACGGCCUGCCUUGUUCUUCUCCGUAGUCCCACAACAUUAUAAAGCUGUCUAUGGAGUCAGAUUCAGGAAAAGAAUUGUGCUACCCAUAUAAUGCCCUCUUCUAUGAUCUAUGAGCACUAUCAUAACAUUGAGGAUCCCUCAUGGCAUUUAAUUUGAUGAGUACAACAAGUUCUUUUUCUCAACCUCUUCUAGUAAUUAGUGUUUUCUAGAGUCUACGUGUAUGUUGCUGUUUCUAUUGCUGAAGAGAUUCGGACUAUUGUGGUUGAAAACAACAACAAACCCAGUGUAAUCUCAAAAGUGGGGUCUAGGGAGGGUAUAGUGUAUGCAAAUCUUUCCCCUACCUCAUGGAGGUAGAGAGAUUGUUUCCGAAGAACCUUGGCUCAAGUGCAUCAAAUCAAAAUAGUUAUGAACGAGAAAAUAUGGUGAUGAAGAAAAAAACAUGGUAACUAAUACGGAAAGCAAUACAAAACAUACACAAAAUGAACAGUAACGACAUAUGGUAACAAAUAUCAAAAAACAAGAAACUACAUGAAGAAGGCUAAUAUUAUGACAUACACGGUGCUCUAGGCUACCACCAAGCCUAUACCCACUGAAAAGCGAAACAACGCUCAACUACCUACUAACCUUCUAUCCUAGUCCACGACCUCCUUGCUCCCCUAUCUAAGGUCAUGUACUUAGUAAGCUACCUCAUUCUAUGUACACCAUACUAUCUCAUUUUUGCAGUACAGGUUGUUUCCGUUGCUGUAGCUACCUAAUUCUACUUUUGUGUUUAGCAUAAUGCCAGGAUCCUGAUAUUACUUUAGUAAAUGUGUGUAGCUCAAAAAAUAUAGGACUUCUCAGGUAUCUGAUGAGAAUAAGUUCUGAAUAUGAGGUACCAUCAAUUCUUGGAUGUCAUCAUUUUUCAUCUGUACCUUUGAAGAGCAUUUAAUGCUAAAAAAUUUCUCACCGGUGCUCAACUUUGAGAAAAUGUGUUUGUUAAUCUUAGGAGCAAUACGCAUUUUUUCACAAUUUCUCUUCCUUAUACAAAAGAAAUAAGCACUAAGCAUUUAAAAGUAUGAAUUCUCCUUAAGUUUAAAUGUUUGGUUGGGUUUCACGUGUCACAUUUUUGACUUAUCUUUGCAACUAUUGUGAUACCUUUAUUUGGCUACUAUUCUGUUAUCUGUACGUUCAAAAACUAAUUGGAAUAGAAAGAUACUGCACUCUAAAGAUUGUAUCGUGCUCAUAAGUUCAACCCCCUAGAAGUUUGGAAUCCAACAAACAACAACAACAACAUACCUAGUGUAAUCUCACAAAUGGGGUAUGGGGAGGGUGUAGUGUACCAGACCUUACCUCUACCUUGUAGAGAUAGAGAGGUUGUUUUUGAUAGACCCUCGACUUAAAAUAAAGCAUUUCCAAGCAGUUUGAAAAAAGAGAAUACAGAAAUGAGAGCAGUUACAGCAACACAAUAAUGUGAAAUGGGAGCAACACAUAACAUACAACGGUAAAAAUAGUAAUGCCAACAAAAUAAUGUGAUAAAUGAAGCACAAAAAGACAGGUGAUAAUCGAAAUUGAAGAACAACAAACUGUGAGAAUAGGGUGCUAAUACUACUGGCAAGAAAGAAGGUCCAAGUUCUACCACCAAUGCUAUCCCACAGGAAAGCGAGAGAACACUAGACUGCCAACUGACCUUGUACUGUAAUGCGCAACCUCCAAACCCUCUUAUCUAAGAUCAUGUCCUCUGUAAGUUCAAGAUGCGCCAUGUCCUGUCUAAUUACCUCCCCGAACACUUCUUCAGCCUGCCUCUACCUCUCAUUAAGCCCGCCCUUGCCAACCACUCACACCUCCUCAUUAGGGCAUCUACACUGUUCCUUUUCACAUGCCUAAAUCAUCUCAGUCUCGCUUCUCUCAUCUUAUAUACCACAAAGGUCACUCCUACCUUAUCCUAGACAUCUUCAUUCCUAAUUUUAUCUCUCCUAGCUAUGUUACUUGGACUCUCCAAAUAUGCAGCUGCACCAGUGUCGGUUUCUCUAAAAAUGCACUACUCUUGGAGGAUCGUACGCGCACCCAGUGACAUUUUUGAAGUGUCCGACCAACAUAGUCUCCUAGUAUGCCCACACAUCCACCUCCACCCCUACAAACAAUAAUUUUUUUUAAAAAGCGAAGAACAUAGAUGGUCAAUUCUCCUAGCACUUAAAUUAUCUUAAGCAUUUUUCUAAUGAUGUUUAAUCAAGAUUUAUUUUUCCAUUCAUACCUGCAGCUUCUCUUUAAGCUGACCCGACCAUUUGAAGUAGCAUCAAGGGGGCAUUCAUUUAUUAUUAGCUUCUCAAAGGCAUUGGCCCUUCAUGAGGUAAUGAGUUCUCUUUUACCUGCUUCAUCAUUUCUAUUGUCUGUGAGGAUUGAAUCCUUUUUUAUUAUUUAUAAUCUGUUUUUUAGUUUUCAUUCAAUCCUUUGCUUUAAAAGGCAACUUAAUUGCCAGUACAGUCCGAAUGGAGUGGAAUAUUUAUUUUACUGAUUCAUAUAUCUCCAUCUAUUGGGAUUGAGGUGUAGUUAAUUAAUUGAUUUUUCAUAUGUGCUUCUGUUGUUCCAGAGUAAAUUGCCCUUCUGCACGCGUGAAGUAUGGGUUAUAACUGCUUCCUUGUCUUUAAUCACUGCAACUGCUGCUCAAUACAAAGAUGGAGAAGUGGCUUCUGACAUUGAAAAAGAGUUUUACCGUGUUCAGGGGGACCUUUAUUCUUUAUGUCGUACUAAGGUAAACUAAUCUAUGCUAAGAAGUAUCAUCUGAUGUUGUCAGAUGUAUCUACUGAAGACUAACCUUAAACUUGACCAUCCUACGGAAGAUUUGUUUUCUGAUGAGUUUUGAAAUGCUGGUCACGUGUAUGUAGCUUUUAGGGCUGUCAUUUUCCUCAAAUUUUCAAAUAAUUUUGAUUCUGGAUUCAGUUUUUGUUCCUUUAGCUUUUAUUUAUAACAAGUUACUCUCUGCCUUCCGUUGAAGCUUGUUAUGGUUGUGGCAGUUCAUGCGGCUGGCAUAUUUAAUUGGUUAUGGAUUACAUAUUGAAAGAAGUCCCGUGAACAGGUACUCGCACUGUUGCUCUUGACAACACCUUUUUCUUGUAUUGGGGCAUUUGUCUAAACCAACCAUCCCACAGGAGGGUAAUCCUAGUCAUACAAGAAAGGUUGUUGAAUUUACUGAAAGCUCAUGUAUAUUUCAUUCGUAUGCGCAGUGCUUCACUUAGCAUGCUGCCUUGGCCUAAGCCAGGAGUUUGGCCUUCUCUUCCUCCCGAUGCUUCAUCUGAGGUGCUUGUGAAAGAAAAGGUGCGUUUUUACUCCUGGUCAUUGAAGAUAUGCCAGAAACACAUGCCCAUCUAAAAGCAUACCAUUCUUUUGGGGCGUGGAGAAUGCAUGAGAAGAACUGAUUUUCUCCUAUAGCAAUUACCUAGCUGAAAUUUUUUAAAUUGGUGACUGCUAAAGUUAAUGAGUUGAUGCGUGUGAAAGGGCAUGCGGUUUGUAAAGUAAAAUUCCUCCUUUCUCAUCAACCUUCAGACAUUUUGAAAGAUCAGUUAGGAUUCAUCCUGUAGGGUAAGAGAAAAACUUAGGAAGGAAUAUGUAGCAUAUAGGCAACACGCUGACAUAUGCAAAUUGAAUAUUAAGCAACUAAAAAAGCUAGAGGUUUGGCAAAUCGUUGAUGUACACAAAUAGCUAAUAUUGCUUGAGUUGCAAGUAGAAGAGAUAAAAUUUCCAUGUUUUGAUCUCCAAUGUAAGUUCAUGGUGCCAUUGGCAGGGUGGAUACUUUUAUGAUAGACUAACUGACAUUAACAUAUGAGUUUCUCUUGCAUACCUGCGUCCCAUAUUAAUCAUGCCAUCCUUGGGACAUUUCAAAUUUUAAAGGUCUGCUUAGCCAGCAAUAAUGGGCCCAAUAUCCACUUUUGACAUUAUUUGCAUUUAUGUUUACAAUUGAAAUGCCUUUUCAUACCAUUGGCCACAAUUUCUUUGCAGAUGAUGUUUGAAGAAAGUCUGCAGGUUAAGCAUUUUGGUAUUCAGAGGAAGCCUUUGCCUCUAGAACCAUCUGUACUUUUGCGAGAAGCAAAUCGCAGAAGAGCUUCUAUUUCUGCUGGGAAUGUGUUUGAAAUGUUUGAUGGACAUCCAAAUGCAAUUGAUGGGUAAUGGAGAUUGAUUAAGAUGAAUGUUUUAUUUGUACUUUUCUAUUAAGUGCAUCCAUACUUAACAAGGCAAAGGUUGGGUGAUUGGGCUGUUUUGAGAUUAUCAGUUGCCAUGUUUUGGAAAUUUUAGAAGUUUGGUAGUUCUCGAAUAAGAAGUUUGAUAAUUUCCUAUAUUACUUGUAUAGGAAGCGACAAGCUUACGGACUCCUAUUUGCAUUCUUGACUUAAUAUGUUUCCACUUCACUUAUCACUAUUGUGCAGUUGAAAAUUGCUCUUUUUUCAAAAACAGCAACAUAUUGUUUGAACAAUCGGUAAGGUGAAUAAUAAUGCUUUUUAUAAGCAUGCCUGUGUCAAUUUAAGUGAAUUACUGGAGGAUAUAAAGCUGAAUAGACUGUUUAAGUUGAUUACUCAAGGGUCCCUUCAAAGUGUAAUUAUAUGGAUGCAUGGACAAAGACUAUGGUUUACAUGAGUGUCAAUAUUUUCUUUUAGUCCAAGAAUUAUCUCCUGAGAACAUCAUUAAGAGAAAGCAGGGCACAGAAAAAGGGAUGUCUGGUGUCGUUUCAUCUAUUUCUUACUAAUCAUUUGACUGAAGGAUGUUUUCCUGAAGCCAUAUGGUAAAAAAUCUAAAAUUAGAUUAGAACAUUGGUGUUAGUUUCCCCAAGAGGCUUCACAUUUUCAUAUGUUAUAUUGUAACCUCAAAGGCUGAGCUCUUACCUUGUCGUCAUCUGCCGACAGCUCAGGUUCAAUGUCUUCACCAGCAAAAUCACAGUCGAUAUCAAUGUCAAGAACUAACUCUUCUCCUGGAAACUUUGAGAGCUCAAUCAGCCGACCUUUGAGGCUUUCAGAAAUUUGCGUUGCUGCUGAGCAUGCUUUGCGGAAUACAAUUUCUGAUGCAGAACUGUGGAAAUCUUUGUCUUCUGUCCAGGAAUUUGAGGUUCGUAUCUUCUCUCAGGAUUUAUGUGUACCUUUGAAUAGUGAUGGUACUUGGAAUAGAGUUCUGUAUACUACAUGUGAAUAGGCAUGAUACUACUUAUUUGAGUUCUGCAUAUAUUUUAUUUAAUUGCUUGUGAAUUGGACACCUUUACAUGCACUAUUCAGCAGCAGUUUAAUCCUUAGUAUUUAUGUAGAGUCAUGUUUUGUUUUAUAUUCUUCAUUCUUUAUGCAAUUCUAAUCAGUUUUAAUCUCAGCAAAAAUACAUGGAGCUGUCAAAAGGAGCUGCCAACAACUAUCAUCGUUCAUGGUGGAAGAGGCAUGGAGUUGUACUUGAUGGUGAAAUUGCAGCUGUGUUCCAUAAAAACGGAAAUUAUGAUCUUGCUGCAAAAUUGUAUGAAAAGGUUUGUGCUCUUUAUUCUGGUGAAGGAUGGCAGAAUCUUUUAGCUGAGGUCCUUCCCAAUUUAGCUGAGUGCCAAAAGGAACUUGGUGAUCAAGCUGGCUAUCUAUCUUCAUGUGUAAGAUUGCUCUCAUUGGAUAAAGGAUUGUUCUCCAGCAAGGAACGUCAAGCAUUUCAGUCUGAAGUGGUUCGUCUUGCUCAUAGUGAGAUGGAGAACACCGUGCCUCUAGAUGUGUCCUCACUGAUAACAUUUUCUGGCAAUCCUGGACCACCACUGCAGCUUUGUGAUGGCGAUCCUGGUACACUCUCCGUCAUUGUAUGGAGUGGAUUUCCUGAUGACAUUACUCUAGAAUCACUUAGUCUAACUCUCACAGCCACAACUAAUACCGAUGAGGGUGUUAAGGUAUUCUGUUUUACUCUCUAUCGCAUCUCCUCAAGUAGUUUUUAGAAACUGUAUCUUCUAGUGCAAUAAGCUUUUAUGAGAUUUUUUCUCAGGCAAUAAAAAGAUCCGGUGAGACGAUAUUAAAGCCUGGAAGGAAUACAAUCAUGAUCAAUUUACCUCCGCAGAGACCCGGUUCUUAUGUUUUGGGGGUUCUUACAGGGAAAAUUGGUUUACUAAGUUUUAGAUCUCACAGCUUUUCAAAGGGUGCUCCUGCAGAUAGUGAUGAUUUUAUGAGUUAUGAGAAGCCAACAAGGCCAAUCUUAAAGGUAAAGGAUAUUUCAUAUAAGUGGAGAGACGAAAAAAUGAAUUGUGAAGGUUGGGAUAGGUAUUCCACAAGGAUAGAGUGUCAUCCUUCACUUCUAUCCUCAAAUAUUCUUAUUGAUUUUUUUGUAUGCAAAUGCUCUACAAUUUAUUAUACAGAAUGAUUAUCUGAAAUCUUUCUCAAAAAGAAAAAUGGUCUUUCUCAAAAUGAUUAUCUGAAAGGCCUUCUAUAUUUCUUGAACUUUUUUGAAAGGUGUUCAAGCCAAGGUCUCUGGUUGAUCUUACUGCUGCUGUUUCAUCUGCUUUAUUGAUGAAUGAACCUCAGUGGGUUGGAAUAAUUGUGAAGCCAAUUAGUUACUCUCUUAAAGGUGCAAUUCUGCACAUAGACACUGGUCCUGGGUUGACUAUUGAAAAAUCGCAUCAUAUUGAAAUUGAGAGGCACAUGAAUGGGCACACAAAUGAGUUAGACCAUUCUGAAGGUUCUAAAGAUGAUGACAGUUCUGCAGCUACUCCCGAAGUUAAACAAAUGUCUCUUCAUGAUGGAAAUAUUGAGCUGCCUGGUUGGGCAAGCAACAUAACUUCUGUUUUGUGGAUUCCUGUGCGUGCUACCAGUGAUGAACUUCCUAAAGGCGCUCCUGCAGGUGAUAAUUAAUAAACUAGUGGUGGUUCAAACAGCAUAGUCGCAGCUCCAUAAAUCUGUUUUUCCACUUCCUAAACACCUGCUUUACCUAUCAGGUGCAGUUGUUCCCCAGAGACAGAACCUAGUGGAGGGACUGAGAACAAUAGCUUUAAAACUUGAAUUUGGAGUUUCGCGGAACCAAAUAUUUGAAAGGUUAACCUUCCUCAUUUUUUCAUUUCAUACUUCUAAUUUUUGAUACUUUUUUAUGCAUAUUCUUGUUAGUAAGACUAAUCUGGAAUCUAACUUCUUUGCAGGACAAUUGCUGUGCACUUCACUGACCCCUUCUCUGUAAGUACACGAGUUACGGACAAAAGCACUGAUGGAAAAUUGCUUUUGCAGGUAAUCUUUUCUGCCGCUUUUGUUUGGUGGUGGUUUUUUGGGGUGGGUGGGGUGUGGGUGUGGGCAGUUACAGGCUAGAGCAGUCAUUUUCUCUGUUGAUCAGUGGUUCUUUAUAAGUAUUUUUGGAUGUCUGGAUGUAAUAGAAAUAGAGAAGAAAAAUAAAUGACUUAAAGAGAAGAAAAGGCAUAGGAGAUGCAAGAAGCCAUCUGAAUUUGCAUCCUUUGUGUUAGGAUUACUGUUUCCAGAAAUGCACACAAUUGUCUCUGAUGUCUGUAGUUCUGUGUUUUAUAGAAUUGUAUCAUUGCAGUGUCAAGAAAUUGCAUGACCUUCAUUAAUGUCAACUCUCUCAUGGUUAGUGUUUCCUGCUUUGUCUAGGUGAUCCUGCAAUCACAAGUCCAAGCUACAUUGACCAUCUAUGACUCUUGGCUUGAUCUUCAAGAAGGUUUUGCCCACACUAGAAAUGGUGAUAAAAAGCCGAUCUCUGGCUUCUUCCCCUUAGUGAUCUCUCCGAAAUCUAGAGCUGGAAUUCUCUUCAGUGUAUGCCUGGCAAGUGCACCAAUAGGAGGUAUGCCCUGCAAUUUUCCCUCUUAGUCACAGACUCGGCAGUCAUUAAUUUUUGACUUCCUUUAUGUACUGAUACUAAUAGUAGGGUGCCCAAUUAUGGCAUAUCAUCCACUACACUUUCUGCAAUACUGGGAAAUCUUGGACAACAUUUUGCCCUGCAUGCUUUUGAUUAGCCAUCGACCAAAAGCAGAAAAUAAGAGGAAAUAUCUACUGGAGUCUACUAAGGAUAUUCCUUUAUGGACAGUUGAUAGGGAUAAAUUUGAAUUACACGGGGGAGGAAAAUGCAUGCUACAUAUUUUGAAUUCUUGAAACUUAUCUAAAUAUUUAAAGAAGCAACUUAUGAUAUUUCAUGACACUAAUUUUCAGUCUUGCCUUUUCCUUUUGUGGUUUGCUUAGAAGAAGCUGAGAUCCAGUGUCCUGAGAGCAUUUUAAAUAUUAGAUUUGGUAUUUGGGGAAAUAGAGCUGCUGGUGCCCAUGACCCCAAUGCUGAGGAACCUAGUGGACAUGAUGGAUCGACUCAGAGUCUGAUUUUCAAGAGCUCUCUUCUUUUACAGAGACCUGUGCUUGACCCUUGCUUUGCCGUCGGUUUUCUACCUCUUUCUUCAACUGAUCUUCAAGUAGGACAUCUUGUUAGCAUGAGAUGGAGAGUUGAAAGGUUAAAGAGUUUGGAGGAAAAUGCAGCUUCUGAAAACAAUGUAAGUACUGAUGAUCUGCAAUCCUCUUUGGCAUUUUCAAUAACAAAGUUUAUCAAUCCUAUCUGUCCAUAUAAAUUGCUCAAUCUUUCAAUAGUCCGAAGCUUUUUUUACUGUUGGUUUUUCCUUUCUCCUUUUGAUCAAUCAUCUGGGUGACUUACUGGAUAACUCCCUCGAAUUUCUCGACUUCUACUUUAGACUCGUCAAGAAGCUAAUUAUUUUCUAUCGAAAUUAAGAAAUAUAGAAAGCUAUCUAAUCGAGCCCUGGCUGCUGCUGCACAUGUAUAUCUGUUUGAUCUGGUUAUUCUUGUAAAUUUCUCACAUCAUGUAAAACUAACUUGUAAUACCAUAUAUGUCAUAAUGGGACAAAAGACUUCCUUUAGAUGAUAAGUGCCUCCUUUUUUGUUUCUCUUGCAAGGAUGAUGUUCUAUACGAGGUCCAUGCAAAUUCAGAUCAUUGGAUGAUUGCUGGGAGGAAAAGGGGACAUGUCUUACUCUCUACGGAACAAGGUCAUUAUUUUCAUUGUUUUGACUUUCAACUUGUAUUACAAGUGCUCUGCGGGUACUCAUACUUGUUUUGUACUGUGACAGGAUCGAGAAUAACUAUUUCAGUAUUAUGCUUACCACUGGUUGCUGGAUAUGUUCGUCCUCCUCAAUUGGGGUUGCCAAAUGUUGAUAAGGCCAAUAUUUGUUGCAAUCCUCCUAGUCCACAUUUGGUGUGCGUCUUCCCUCCAGCUUUAAGUUCUUCUUUCUGCAUACCACCCUGAAGACUUUGGUCAUCCUUUCCUCCUUUCUCCUUAAAAGCAUGGAUGGUUUAACUUGAAAACUUGGAGUCUACCAGUGUUUGUACAAUAUGUAUUCUUUUCUAAGUCGCAACGGUAAAGGAAGUGAGUUUUUUUAGUGUCAAAGAUGUAGACCUAAUGUACAGAGAACAGUUUUGCUUGUACAAUAGAUGAGAUUCUGAGAGAGAAUUUAUUUGUAGACGGAACAACAGUAGUCGGGAGAUGGAUGAAUUAAAGAGUUUUAAGUGAUUAUUGGUUUUACUAUAUUAUGUGCAUGUUAUAUGCCUUGUGCUUUUGAAUUACUUAAAACUUGAUUGUUGGCAUAUAUUUUCUUGGUUGUUUUUGUGCUCCUUUUGGUUGAGCUAGAUGAUUUUCCGGUCUUCAUCAUGUAUUUGACACUUUUCGGCGUAUUGAAGAUCACUAAUAGAUCAAAUAUAAGUCUAAUUUCGUAUAUAUAGGUGUUCUCCGACUCUCGAAACUUUACCUUUAGCCGGCUUUGGCCCAACUAGUUUUGAGUAUGCAGGCCUCGAUCUUUGAAAAACUCAUAAAAAAUUAUUUAAAAUAUAAUAAUAAAUUGCAUAUGACAAAGAAAACUUCGUUAAAAUAGAAGAAAAUAUUAACAGAAGGACGAUUUUAGUCAACUUUUCCCAACUUAAAAAAUGUUAUCAGUUAAUAUAUGGAUGUAAUAAUCAUAAUAAUUUGAGGGGAAAUAUAGGAAUCAUUUACGUGAAUCUGGGUUUAACUUCGUAUAGUUACCCAGGCUCUGGCCCAACAGAUUUUGAGCAGUCAAGCCCAAUUUGAAAUUCGGACCCCUAAUUCCCUUUUUCGCCCGCCAAUUUCAAAUGUCGCCGAAGUAAACCUUUCCCCCGUGAAUUCUUUGCUUCCCGGAACACCUUCAGGAUCUCCACUGGCAUGAAAUUGUAAGUUUUCCUUCUCAUGAAUCAUAAACCCUAAUUCCUAAUUCCCAUGAUAAAAUUCGAAUUUGAAAUUGACGUAGAAGUACUUUGUGACUCCUUUUACGUGUAGAAAUCGAAAUUCUAAUCUCAUUGUUACAUUUUUUACUAGCUUUCUAUGAUCAAUUUUAAUAUCCAAUUUAGUGUAAGUUUCAAUUUUUCUGGAAAAAAGUUUUGUUUUACUUUAUGCAGAUUGAAUUGUUAUCAGAUUGCCGAGACUUGGAAUUUUGAAGUGAAUUCAGGCUAUAAUUAGGGUGAGUUCAGUGUAACAUCGUUGUAUAGUAAUACCAAUUUGUAGGGAAAAUGAAAAGAAAAAUGGAAAUCCCAAAUUCAGGGGUUUCAAUCUCAAAGAGAGACCUGUGAGAAAGAGGAUAGCUUCUAGGAAUUAUGAUGAGAAUUUGAUGGAUAAUUUCAUAGAUGAGCAGUUGGGUGGCCCAGUGACGAAGAAAGAUUUGGAGAAAGAAACUGAAAAAGAGGCCUUGAUAGCUCUUUCUUUGGGCUUCCCAAUUGGGGUUGCCAAAUGUUGAAAAGGCCAAUACUGGUGUGCGUCUUCCCUCCAGCUUUAAGUUCUUCUUUCUGCAUACAUACCACCCUGAAGCCUUUGGCCAUCCUUUCCUCCUUUCUCCUUAAAAGCAUGAUGAGCUUCACAUGGAUGGUCUAACUUGAAAACUUGGAGUCGACCAGUGUUUGUACAAUAUGUAUUCUUUUUUCAAAUCACAACAGUUAAGGAAGCAAGUUUUUUUUAGUGUCAAAGAUGUAGACAGAGAACAUUUUUGCUUGUACAGUAGAUGAGAUUCUGAUGUGCAUGCUCUGACUAUAUGCCUUGUGCUUUUGUAUUAAAACUUGAUUAUUUUUUUCAUAUCUUUUCUUUGUUGCUCCUUGUUUGAUCUUUUUGGUUGAGCUAGAUGAUCUUCCAGUCUUCAUCAUGUAUCUAACACUUUUCGCGUCAUCGUCCGAGAAUCAUCCCAGUGAUACUAUAAUUGUUUGUCUAUAGAUAAAAUAACCACUUAAAAUGCUCGUGUCUUCCAGAUUUGAAAAUAAUUUCAAUUAGUAGUAUUUUAUCGAAUGAUGUCCCUUAAUUAAUUUUCUACUGAAGAAACUUUUUAUAGGUUGUGUGAGGUAUUGUUUACACGAUUAAUAUACAGAAUCAAAUAUCUUCAAAAACAAAAACAAACAAAAAAAACUAUUGAGUGGCCAUUCUGUUAUAAAAAUCUAAUCUUCUAUCUUUAGAAAAUCAGAAAAAAAGAAUAGGUCCCACCGAGACUUGAACUCGGGUUACUGGAUUCAGAGUCCAAUGUCCUGACCACUAGACCAUGGGACCUUGUUGAAAAUUUAAGAUAAACAAUAUUUAUAAAUCCAAUUAGAAAGUACUAACCCCUUCCCACACCCCUAAUUACCAAGAAGUAUGAUUUACACCAUAAAUUAAGCAUAUCUUGAAUUUAUCAUGUCAUAAAAGUUCAUUAUUUUCUUCUUGAACGAAACAUUGUAAAGGUAAGGUUGUAUACACAUCACUCUCUCUAGCCCUUACUUAUGCGAUUACCCUGGAUAUGCACUCUCUCUAGAGAGUUUUUAUGUGAUUACCUUAGAUAUGUUGUUGUUAUUAUUGUCGUAAGGAAAAACUUGAAAGAGAAAGGCAGGGAGAACUUUGAAAGCAAAAGAGGUUUACUAAUCCAACAUUAACCAUGUUUUAAGGACCCAAAUAUUCCGGCAAGUGUUAAUGUAAACACACAAAAAUCAGGAGAGAAGGAAUAAAUUAAGGUAUGUGGUCUCCAUCAACUCUUCCACAUGCUAAAUCUAUAUUGAUAGUUGAAACGUUGUAAAAAUAUAGCUUUUAUAUCGGUAUUUAUCUUGGUAUAGCAUUCGCAAAAAGCUCACACUUUAUUUACGUUAUUCUGUCACCUAAAAGACCUAGGACUGAAAAAGUCAUUCGGAGCACAUGCCUAUUUAAUUGCUAGAUUAGAGUGUUUAAACUUUUGGAUAUUAUAAUUGGAAUUAAGUAGGCAUUUUGAUUAAUGGACGAUACAAAAUUAGGAGAGAAGAAAUAUCAUAAAUUGUUUGGUCUUAAAUCUUAAUCAACAUAUUUAUUAUUUAGGUGGCCAUUUAAUAUUCCAAUUUAUAUUAGCCAAAUCUGUUUAUAAUGAUAGCUCAAACAUCAAUGGCAAGCACAAACAUUGUCCAACUCUGAAAUGUAGUUGAAACACCUAAAUCAUGAAAUACUUUUGUUAGCAAAUCCUUGUAAUCCUACCAAACCUACAAUCAACAUCAUUGUUGUUGUUUUAGUUGGUUUAGUUUGUCAUUAACGAUACGGGCGAAUAUAAUAGAAUUUUGUAAAUUUUGUUUGAAUCUUAUGUAUAUUUUACUAAAUAUUUAUAAAAUUAAAAUGUAAAAUCGAAUUGCUAACGUAUAAAGUUAUUAUCCUACCAUUAUCAAAAUCAAAUUUAAAUUUUGUGUACACGUCUAUCAAACAAAAGCAUUGUCCCACUCAUGAUUUUGAUUUGUCACGAAGCGUCAUGAGUGAUGUGUAUUUUAAAUACAAUAAUAAGGUUAUUUUUAUAUUAUAAAGGCUAAAAAAUUCAAAUUGCAUCUAAAUUUUUCUAUCAUUGCAAUUUAUUACUUUCUUUGAUAGCAUACAUACAAUGAUACAAAUGGAAAGAGGCUACUAAGGGAAAUAGUAAUAUUGAACUUAUCUAUUACUCUAUGUUAUGCCCAUAAUAUUGAACUACCAAAAGUUAUAAUGAAAUAGUAAAUUGGAGUAAUAUUCUUUCAUUUUAAAUUAGAGAUUUCAGAUUUGAGCAUUGAAUAUAGAGUCACAUCUGCUAGAGAUCCAUAAUGAAACUUUUCAACGCAAAUGCAAAUUAAUUAAGUCCCAGAACGAAUAUUGAAUACCAUGUGGAAAACCAAAAUCCUAUAUGCCAUGCCCAUUAAAGUUCCCUUAUUCAAAAUCAUUACUUUGAACUUUUCUUAUGGAGGAAAAGAUAUAUAUAUAGGGUCGAUUUCAAUAUUCUUUUGUUGUGUAGGACCUAUAUAUAUGUAUGCAUUAGUCAUUCGUUUCUCUUGCUUUCACAUGUAGUCAAAAUUUUAUGUGGUUUAUAUUUAUUUAUUUUUUAAAAACCAAAAUAAUAAUCUUCUGUUAUAUAAUUUGUUUCUAAGGAUAUGUAUUUCAUUAUUUGAUCUUCUUCAUUUUUAUAUUAAUUAUAACAUUAUAUUGUGCAACCUACGUGCAUGCCACUUAAAUAAACGGUGUAGAUAUUUGUGCUAUCAACAAUUAGGUUAGGCAAAAUCUUUCCAUCAAUACAUUUAUUGCAAAAUAUUUUUAAAAAAAAUCAUAUUUAAUUGGUCAAAUUUUAAUUUUCAAAGAAAAAAGGUUCCUUAAAUAUCAGGAAAACGACUUUUUUGAUAAGAGUACGUAAGAAAAAUAAAUUCCACAAGUGACAUUUCAUGAUGAUUAUCCCCUUCCCACCCCCAACCUUCAUACUAUUUGUCUAUAUUAUAUAUAAAUACUUAUAAGAUAAUAGUUUUCACUUAUUCACAAAAUACCAGAAACUAAAAGUAAGAAAAUCAUUUAUUUUUCGAAAAAAUAUAGUUGAUUUUUUUUUUCCUUCACUCUAAACAAACAUAGCCUCCUCUACCAUUCAAAUUCCAUUCUACAAAAGGAGUAAAUGCAGAAAAGACUUUUGAACUAAAAUAAUGUUCUUUAUAAUGUCUAAUAUGUGUAGGAUAGAGACUAGACAAGGACCUCAAUUGCUAUAUCUAUUAGCUUUUUUUUCAACCUUUUAUCCAAUUAUUCAAAUACCUAACCACAUGUUAUUAUUAAAAAGAGGUCCCAAUUCUAUUGUCCUACGAUACUAUGGCCUAUAUAUAUAUAUAUAAUAUAAUAUAACAUUCAACUUCAUUUUCACCAUUCAUAUGAUUUUCCUAGUAAAUGAAAUUUUGUCAAUUUUGUUGACAAAUGUUUUUUUCUUUUCUUUUGUGUUUGACAAAAUUAACUAGCCUAUGCACAAAUUAGUCAACAUAUAUAUAAUUAUUGUCUUGUCUAGUUAUAAAGAGAUUAAAUUAAGAGCAUAUAUAUAUAUUAUGUUAGAGGCAUUUAAGAAAAUAAUGAAAGAAUACAAAAAAGUUUUAAAUCUUAAUACAAAUAAGAUAAAAGAUCAUUGAAUAAGUGUGAAGAGAGUUUGUUUAAAGAAUAAGUGUUAAGUUGACUACCAUGAACAAUACAUUAAUUUGUUAUUAAAAUAAUUUGUGCUUAAUUUGAUCACAUUUGAGAAUAAUUAGUUGAUUUAAAUUUCAGCUACAUUUACAAAGUUGUGAUGUAGUGUUAGUAUUCAUCCUUUCUUAAUUAUAAAUUUUAAAUGUAAGGCGUGAAAAUGAAAUCUGUUUUAAUCAGGACCGUCUUCUUUUCAAAAUAGUCCACAUAAUUAUUAUUUUUUAAAAAACAGAAAGUAGUUGUUAUUUAAUAAUAGAGAGAAUAUCAUAAUUAUAGUAUUUAAUUGUCAGCUUUAAAUUUCUUAAUGGUUUAUUUAUCCACAUCUUAUACUCUCUCCUAUCAAAUUGUAUCUUUUUUUCUUUUACAUCCCAAAAAGAAUUACAUAUUCUUAUAUAUAACAACAAUUUAUCUUUAAAAUAUUUAAUUUAUUCUUAAUGUUACAAUAUAUAGUCACAUACACACAUAUAUAUCCUGCUCAUCUUUUGUAUCAAGAGUCGAUUAAAAAUAUUCUCUCUACGUUUCACAAUAAAAGGUUCGAAACAUGUUAUUUUUUUCAAAUCUCACUUACAAAUUAUAUUAAAUAUAUUAUUAUUAUUAUUAUUUUAUAUCUGAUCAAAUAUUAUCACAUAAAUUAAUAACUGGCUAACAAAAAUGGAAAAAAGUCAUAAAAGUCAAGAUUUGAAAUAUAGAAUUUUGCAAAUGCUGGUAGACAGGAGGACUGGUAGAAUUUAAUAUUUGCUAACUAACUUAUUUCCACGUACACUUCUAAAAUCUAAAUUUACCACUAAUGAUUUUCAGGUCCACAAUUAUUUUUAAAUUUUCAUUGAAGUCAUUUCUUUUUCUACUAUACGUACGAUAAUGACCCCCCAACAACUCCAAGCCUCACUUAUUUACCCAAAAAUAAUAAUUCUUCAUCCUAAUAAUAUGACUUCAAAAUAAAAUAAAGUUUAGAUUUCAACUAGACAUUUGAUACUUUAAACCAUUAUGUUUAACACCUUUCUAAGGAAGUAAUAAUCUUGUGUGUCCAUUUACUUUGUGUUAGAGUCAACUUUCACAUAUUUUGACUAAUUUCAUGAGAUAUAUGUUAUCUUUUAUCAACAACAUGUAAUAUAUAACUCUAUUCAUCAAAGCUAAUAUAGAUGCAAAUAAGUCUUGUAUGUCCACUUUACGAAUAGAGGAAUGAGAAAGGUCAUAAUUAACUAAAAUAACAUAUAUAAUAAAUUAUAGGGAUAAGAGUCUGAAAAAUACUUCAACUUUGGUCGGAUUUGCUGUUACGAUACUAAACUUUCAUGAGGACCUAUUACUUCUCUAGAGUAUUUGAUACCAUAUUUUAAACAUAUAUAUUUGCCCACGUGGACAUAAAAAAUAAUGCAAAAUUAUAAAUAGUAAUGUGUCCACGUGGGCACAUAUAUACCUUUAAAAUACACUAUUAAAUAGUUCAAGGGGUAAAAAAUACGGUAUUAAAUAGUCUAGGGAGGUAAUAGGUCCUUAUGAAAGUUUAGUAUCGCAACAGCAAAUACGACCAAAGUUGGGAUAUAAUUCAGACAUUUAUCCCUAAAUUAUAAAAUCAAAUCUUUCCAACUUCGUAACUUAAUAUACUCAUGUGAUUUAGAAUAAUUGUUCUACUCGUUUGAGUUGUUUCAAGAAGUCAGAUGUUUUUCUCGAAUCAAAAUGUUUAAUAAUGUGUUUGAUUAUAUUUACUUGUCAGGUUUAUAUGAAAUAUUUAUUCUCACAUAAUAUAAUACCAAUUAGUAGAGCAAUUUAGAAAUAUUAAUUAAACUUAUAUAUCAAAAACAUUAUGUACAAAUGACAAUAGAUUAUCAUAUAUAUCACCAUAUAAAGAAGAGCAAUUUCAGAUUUCCUCAUCAAAAUGGGGAAAAUUACAUUCUCUAUAUAUGUCAUUUUUCUUAAUUUUCCAAAUUUGAACUAAUCUAGUAGAUAUUACUACUACUAUCAUUAAUUGCAUCUGGGUCCACUUUGCUUCUCCAGAUUGUCAUAUAGGCCCCUACAAAAUUAAAAAAGUAGAAAACAGUACCCAUUACUUAUGCUAUUAUCACUUUCAUAUUCAUAUGUUAUAUAUUUUGCAAUUUUAUCAACAAAGAUUGUUGAGUCUCCAAUCCAGUCUAACUUCAUUGGGUCCCACAAAAUGCUGACUUGGCUUGUUGAAUACGAUGACGUGGCUGUUGACCAUAAACGCCGUGACCCGCUCCGAAACCCGAAUAUCCUCCAUCUUCAAUUCCUGCAGUCUCUUCACGUACUCCGGCGCGUGCACCAGAUCCCACACCACCCCAACGCCGCCGGGUUUCAGCACCCUCACCACCUCCCCCAACACCCUCAUCCUCUCCGCCGCCGCUACCGCCGUUUUCUGCCCGAACUCCUUCCCCACCGUGUGUACAAACGCCGCCGACGCCACCACGUCGAAGUAAUUAUCACUGAACGGAAGUUUUCUCGGGUCACCUGACCGGCACGUGACGUACUCCUGAACACCUUCAAUCCCGGCAGUUCGGAGAGUAGAGAGAGAACAAGUCGGUGUUGGAUGUAACCCGACGACCCGACCGGAUGACCCGGAUUUCUUCAGCUGUAGAGCGACGGCGUUGAGGAGGAUCCCACGGCCACAGCCAAGGUCAAGAGCAUGCUUAACGGAAGACCAAUCACCAACGGCGUUCACCAUCCUCUGUGCCAUUUCCCAGUGAAGCGAAACGGAGGAGUAAAAAAUGUUGCCGGCGGCGUAGAAAAGGCAAACGGCGGAGAGUGCAGUGACGGAACCGGUGAAUCCGGCGGCGAAACGAGCUGAGCUUAGGCCAGGUAAGAAAUGGUGGAAGAAAUAGCAGAUAGGUUCGAAAUAAACUAGAAAAAUCACAGACAGUAUAGAGAAGAAGAUAGCAUAAAUUAGCAGAAAUAUCGGGGUUUGCCAAUCAUCAACACCGUAAAUUGAAUAGAUCUGUCCCCAAUCUCUACCAGCUUUCCCCAUUCUUAGCUUAAUUAACAAUUCGCCAUAGAAACUUCAAAAAUCUGCAAAAAUCUGUUAAAAAAAAAAAAAACCAUUAACAUUUCUGUCACUAUAAACCAAAAAGAAUAGAAAACGAACAAACAAACAGUGAUUAACAGCAACGUACGGUGAUUUUAUCAGAUCCCGAAGCAAUUAGACAAAGAGUUAGUAUACAGCACGAUGUCAGAUUUUCAAAUUCUGAUGGAUGAAAUGAGUAUUAAUAAUGGUGAUGUAAUGCCGCGUUUGUUUGUUUGAUUGAUUCGUCAGAUAAUGGAGAGUGCUCUUUUGAUGAACAAGUUGUUACCAGUGCCCAGUGCUGUGUGGGGUUUGUUCUAAUUCAUACUGUAUUUAUAUAUGCACAAACGCAGAGUUGUUGGGUAUGGAUCGGGUCGGAUAGAGAUGGAGUUAUAAUAUUAAGUAUGCAUUUAAUAUAUUUUUUGCUUAGAUCUUAUAUGUAUUUACUAUGAAAUAGCCGGAGUAUUUGCUUAGAUCUAGUAUUUAAUACUAUGAAAUAGGCGGAGUUAAAGAUUUUGAAUUUACAAGUUCUGAAAAAUUAAAAUAUAUUUCAUUAUUUCAAUUUGUUUGUCUUAUUUCCUUUUAAUUGGUUUAGAAAAUUAAUGUUUUUUUUUCUUGUUUUGACUUUUUGACAACUUUUUAAUCUUAAUUUUUAAUAUCAUGAAAAUUAAAAUACAUGCAAUAAUGUAUCUUUAAUGUAAGACCAGAACAAUUAAAUUAAAACGAAGGGAGGUUAAAAAUAAUUAUUAUUACAUUUAAGUAGAUCUUUAAACAUAAAUAUAAAAUAUCAAUUAAAAUUAUUGAGUUUAGUCAAACAUGUAGAAAACAAUUAAUAUUACAUGUAAGUAGAUUUAAAAACAUAAAUAUAGAAUCUAAAUUAUAAUUAUUGAGUUUUGUUGAAUAUAUAGAGAAUAAUUAUUAUUACAUGUAAGUAGAUUUAAUAAAACAUAAAUAUAAAAUCUCAGGUAAAAUUAUUGAGUUUAGUCAAACAUGUAGAAAAUAAUUACUAUUACAUGUAAGUAGAUUUAAAAACAUAAAUAUAGAAUCUAAAUUAUAAUUAUUGAGUUUUACCGAAUAUAUAGAGAAUAAUUAUUAUUACAUGUAAGUAGAUUUAAUAAAACAUAAAUAUAAAAUCUCAGGUAAAAUUAUUGAGUUUAGUCAAACAUGUAGAAAAUAAUUACUAUUACAUGUAAGUAGAUUUAAAAACAUAAAUAUAGAAUCUAAAUUAUAAUUAUUGAGUUUUGUUGAAUAUAUAGAGAAUAAUUAUUAUUAUAUGUAAGUAGAUUUAAAGACAUAAAUAUAAAAUCUUAGUUAAAAUUAUUGAGUUUUACCGAAUAUGUAGAAGGAGUUUAGUUCCAUCACCACUAUUGAGAAAUCUAGUGGGUGAUAUAUAUUUAUAUAAAUAUCCAAUUAAAAACUUGAUAAUUAAAAUGACUCAAAUAAUAAAUUUCAAAUUUUGAUUACGCCAUUUAGAAGAUGGUGGGGCAGGAAUAUUGAAAAAAUAGACAAAUUAAGUGACUAACUCCAUAGUUUUAACAAGAGUCGUCCAUAUGGAGGUGUUGGAUUUGAUCUUUACACUAUCCAAAAUCAAUUCCCUAAAGGCCUGCCUCCUCCUUUUUUUUCUUUUUUAUUUUAUAUAUAUAAAAUAUAUAUCAAACGUAACUUUAUUUUUUUCUUAAAUAUUAUUGAAUCGAAUUCACCCUAUUACUAAUGCUAGUUAACUUGUAUGUCCAUUAAUUAGUCCAAAACGGCAAGUAUUUUGAGUAGAAAAGAUCACUUUUCAUGCUUUGUGUUGUGGACGUUCAUAUCAUAAGAAUUUUCAACGAAAAGGAGUUAAUUUGUAUCGUGAGAGUUUUUCACGUAUCGAUAAAUGAUAAAUCAUGAUUGCAUUAGAUUCAUUUUAGCAAAUGUUUUUUACUAUAGAAAAAUAAAUUUGUAGAAUUUAUGUAGUUAUCUGUCAAUUUUUACUUUUUUGAAAAAGAAAAAUAUCGAACGUCCAAAUUCACACUGAUAAUUUAUGGGACCCAUGUACUACAAAUCAUGUACUAAUUCUUUUUUCUUUAAAAAAAAGAAAGAGUAACUAUGUUUAAAUGUAGGUAAAGUUUCAAUGUUCAACUGCUAUAAAUAUAAAAGAAAAAAAAAAGUAAAGACAUCUGUUCACGUAAUAAUUAGGGGUAAUGAAAGCCUAAUUCAAAGUAAUAUAUAUAGUUUUAACUUAAAUAUUAUAAGUUAGAAUUUUAACUCGCAUAUUGUAAUUUAAAAUUUUAGUUGAAUUCAGUGUUCAUCAGAAAUAAUCAAUUUAUCUUCAUAAUAUAAGACAUUUUUUUAUCAGAUAUCUGAUAUUUAUAUUGAAGUCUGACUAAUUCAGAUUUGUGUUGCAUAGGGCCUCAUUUACUCAAAGUUCGAACCCAAAACUUCUAAUUAAAGGAGGAACAAUCUCAUCCAUUACGCACUAUCUUUUCUUGACUAUAGAAUUUGUAUUUACAUGUUUUAUCGUGUUAUGGUAUAUUAUAUUAUUAUUAGCAUACUAAUAAAAUGUUGUUAGCAAUUAGUCAAAAUCAA